This 44401-nucleotide long non-coding RNA is filed under the name Citrus maxima (pomelo). RNAcentral describes it as "long non-coding RNA (CMAX_LNC001527)". The stretch from base 32903 to 33064 matches the Rfam family "U1 spliceosomal RNA". Lineage: Eukaryota; Viridiplantae; Streptophyta; Magnoliopsida; Sapindales; Rutaceae. The record is from RNAcentral.
GUGCAGCAAAUUAAAGAUGUUUAAUUAAACCUCUCUAAUCUUAAACAUAAGUAGUUGAGGUGCCGAAUAUGUUUGGAUCGAUCCAGUACCGUAAGUAACAAGGCAGCUUCUUCUAAUUAAACAUAUCGUCCCGUCUGGUUAUUUCCGUUUGCCAGAACGCAACCUCACCCAUGAUCACAUAAUUAUCCACCAACAAAACAAUCGUUGCCAAGGUCAUAAUCAAGCUAUCAUCAGACUGUCCGUGCUCUCCGCGGACGGCAGCUGCUAUAACCUCGUGAUAAAUCCAUGACAUUGCAACACCAUUUUCCAUCAAGAAACGAUGUGCGGGACCCAAAUCUGCACUACGAAAAGCACCACGAAAGAAGUUGAGCAGCAAAGGUAUGUAAAUCGAGAGAAGAAAAUAAUACGCAUUGAUGCUUAAAGAGAGCAGAACGCCGGCCCGCCUGCUUUGUGUGCAGAGAUGAGAUAAAGCUACUACGUAUUGUGCCCAGUAAAAGAUCGAAGAAGCUGAUUCGAUUCUGAUGCUGAAUCCCCAGACCAAGACUAAGGUUGGAGCAAGGGUUGCUAUGCCUGCAUAUUCAGAGCCCAAAACCUCCGCGAACAAGAUCAUCCAGCUGUUUAAGUUUGUGAUGAGCAUCAUUGUUAACAAAGAUGACAUGUCGGGAAGAAGCUCAUGAUUGUGGGUUGGCCAAAUAGGCAUUUUCCCUCUUUUUUGUAAAUUUUUUUCUCGGUAUUGUAUGUAACUUGUCUGUUUGGCUUCUGGGAAAACAAAUAUGAGAGGAGAAAGUGAUUGGAGAAAAUUAAGCUGAAUUACAUGAUGAGGGUUGAGGCAGUCCAAACCAUGUGCUUCUACUCUGUUAGUGCAUUUACCUAUCUCAUAUAACAAAUGGAAAUGGCAGAGAAUUCAAAUUAAAGCUGCACAAAAUGGGAAACUGAGGUAUAAAGUGCUGGGUGGAAGUGACAAAUUAAGGAAUUUUAAAGGUCAUAGUCAUCUCAAUUUAUAGACUUCAUUAAUGCCAAUAUCUUAUUAAUUUCUGAAGUUGAAAAUUAACAUAUCGUUGACGAUGUUGAGCUGUACAAAGCUCGUUACUCAUUCCAGUCACUUUAUUUCUCAAAUUUAUGAUCUUUCAAAAUCUUCUCAACUCCCACUGUUAUUGCUGUUUUUUCUGUUGAUCAAUUAAAAUUCAUUUCUUCUGUUUGAAUGCAGGCACAUUUAUUUUUCAUCAAUUUUUUUUAUUUACGCAUAUCUAUAUUUUGAGUAAUUGUAAAAAAUUAUGUAUGGGAAUUAAGAAUUAUUGUUAUGUUAUUAACCAAACUCUCAAGAUUUUAAAUGCAGUGGAAAGUUUUGUAUGUUUCAAUUUUAUUUUUAUCAAUAUUUUUUUGGAGAAACAAUUGUUGAAAAAAAAAAGUAAAAUAAGAGAGCGAGAAACUUUUGCCAAAAAUUGAAAAGGAGACUUGUACUCCAAGUUAUUGCUAUAUGCCCACACAUAACACAAGCGUAAUGUAUAUCUCCAUAAUUAAAUGAUGAAUGAUUAUUCACGUCUCUUGUAGAAGAUGAAAAAUUCAAGAACAUACCAAUAAGUUUGAAAGAAGAAAUACUGAUUAGAUGUGAAGAUGAUCGGUGUGAACUUAAACGUGUUAUUGGAUCGUUUGAAAUCUUGUGUUGCGAAGAUGGAUAAAAUAUUGAAGCUAAUCACGUCGAUGAGUGAACAUGAUAAAAUAAUCAGUGUUCAAGACCAUUUGAGCAUUUUACAGUUUAAAUGCAUAGAGAAAUUGUAUGAUGAAUGGAGUGAUGAUGCGAUAGAGGCAUCGAUUAAUAAACUAAGGUUACUUGAUUUUAACCUAAAAAAGACUCACUUGCCUUUUGAACUUUGUAAAGGCUAAUAUUUAACAUUUAAUUUCUCCAAUAUUUUAAUAGUACAUUUGUCUAUAUCUACAAGUGAGGUUUAUCAUGAAUAUAGAUUUUUAAAUUGUAAGAACCAUGAUUUUAUAGUAAAAAAAAAAAAAAAAGAACACAACGAACGACAAAAAUAGAUAAUGAACACAUAUUCUUUUAAAAAAUUUAAAUAAUUUAUGUCUAAAAAAAUAACAAUCAUAACAAGAUCAUGUUCUUUUUACCUACUCACAAUCAAUAAUUUUAUGCAUUCUAAUAAAAUAGUAAUAAUUAAGUCAAAUAAAAAUAAAAUAAGCUCAUGAUCAACACCAACUACCAACAGAGACAACAAAUAUUUUGUGAUAGAUUGUGGACAAAAUAACGUAUAUCAUAAAAGCAUGCGAACUCGUGAUGGAAUUACAGUUUAUGAAGGAUUAAUGACCAACUUUGUGAUAGAAUUAUUGACAAUCAUGAACUUAAGAUAUGGUCUAAGACAAAAAAUUAUAUUAACUAUUAUUUAAAAAUAAGAAAUGAAACGGUGCGUUUAUGUAGUGCUCGAGUAAAAACACUCCGGUAUUUUCCAAGUCUAAACACAGUCAUCCUCACGGUAACGGGUCACAGCCUCACUAUUAAAUCAUAAACUCAAACCCUCACUCGAUCAUUCAAAUUUCUAUGACGUCACUGCGUAUAUUACAAAGCAAAGAGAGUUACCAUAUUGCUAUCGUUCAGACCUCAAUGUUGCCGCCGUUGUGCCAAUCAUCUAUCGGAGUUCUUGGCGAAGAGUGGUCGGGAUUUGCUCCCCGGUCGCUGGAGGCCCCAACACUGGUGAGAUUCGAUGUGACACAGUGGAAUUAGCUGUGAAGCGAUGAGUUAGUGGUGGCCAGGGUUUCACUUUCGUUUCCCCCAAACCAGUUUUCUUCCCAAUUCCCCAUAUGCCCCUCAUGUAGUGUCAUAUUAUUAAUCGAUGGUUCAUGUUCUUUCAUUUCUAUUUCAUAACAAAUUACUUUUAAAUUUAUAAUUUAACUUGGUAAUUAAAUAUUUAUUGGUUUAAUUGUUGCAAUUCGAGCUGGAUUAUGAGCUGAUGGGUUCCCUCGAUGAGAAUUCAGCUCAGUCUCUUGAUCAACUAUGGGACCUCACAGUAAUACCAACUUAUUCAGCCUUUUCUUUUGUCCAUAACAUACGAAAAGGAACUUGCUAACCUCCCCGUUCAAUUUCACAUUUUUGUUAAAACCUGGAUUUUAUUAAUUUUUAUUAUUUGUAUAUGUGCCCUAUGGUGGAGUUACUGAAGAGUUGAAAGGCAGUUGUUAGAAAACAAAAAAUUAAUAUUCAAUUCCUUAGUUCAUCCUUGACUUGGCUUCCAUGGCUUUUUGCACAAACCAUGCUUGACUAUCGAAAUUAAGGAAUUAGGUUGGAUAAUGCUUAGAUGGUCAAUAAUUAGCCAAACAAGACAAGUAAUAUCCAUUGGUUGAUGAUGCGUGAUUACUGGAUGGGUCAUCUUAAUAAUAGUGCCUUUGAUAUUAGGUGUACUUUCUUAUUUGUUUUGGACUCAUCCAGGGACCAGAAGGCAGAGGCUGAGACUAAGCCUUUUAUGAAAAAUUCUCUGUCCUAGGUUAAGUUUGGCACUAUUGUGCCGAGUAAGUUGCAUUAAUUUCUUUCACUCUCUGUGUUUUUGAUUCCUUGAUCAGUUUUCAAUAUGCAAAGCACUGAACUUAAAUUUCUGUGACUGUGUGGUAGAUUGACUUGAGUGGAAAUUUGCUUUCAAAUUAGAAGGUUUGCGUUCGUACAUUUUACAAUUUGUAAGAGCUGCUCCAAAUAUGUUUUGAUCUGUACUCUCUCUUUCGCCUUUGUCUUUCUUGUCAUACAUAAGCACAAAAAUUAUUAUCAUCUAUGUGCAUUGAAGGAGCUUUAGCUUUAAAUUUAUUAGCUACAAAACCUGCGUUUUCUGCUAGAUAACCUUUUAAAAAGCACGGUCAUAUUUAGCAUGACAUCGAUGCACAUAACUGGCUUUUUAGUCUUUCAAUAAAUUCUAAAUUUCUCAAAGCUAAAUGCAAUAGGUGAUCUCUAUUGGUUUGUUUGAGUUUCUCUGAUUAAACUUACUCUCCUUUUUACUGUAAAAUGGAAAUGAAAAAUCUCUUGAGUGCGCUGAGAUUUCCUACAAUUGGGUUCUUAAGUCAAGGCGUUGUUGAAUGAAAUGAAAUUCGCUGGUGGUGCAGUGCAUGCCAGAACAACUAAGCCUACUUCUACUCUUUAGUGGUGCAUCUACUGAAGUUUCAUUAUUACUGAUAGUGGAGAGCUGAGACAAAUUGGUCGAAAGUAGAUGUAUAAUUUCUUAGCAAUGUUUUGGUUCAUGCUUUGAUAUUUUCAUUUGUUUGGUAUUUCUUGAGAUUACUAUUAUUAAUAUAUUGGUAAAUGAUGUUGAUUAUUGCUAUAAACCACUAUUUGUGAGUAUACAUUAAGUGAUUGCUCUACAUAUGUUUUUCGUUUAAAAGAAAUGAUAGUUUAUAUAUACAAGCUUCUUUUUUUCUAUAUUUAAAAAUUUUAUAUCAUCAUUGUGGUUUAAUUAUGAAUUCUUUGCAGAAGGAUUUUAGCGCUGGAAUUUGGUGGACAUUGAUUUUUGGCACAGGUACUUUGCUGCUGGUGAUUACUCAUGUUGGGAUAUGGGGUUGAUGUAUUUUGAAAAUACUUCAAAAUACAUGUAUUUUGUUGUUUAUUUUUAUAGGAGGCAACACCAUAAUAAAAUAAUAAUAAUAAUAAUAAAAUUUAGCGUAAUUAUCAAACUUUGUUUAUAAAAUUAACCCACCAAAGAUAAUUUUUCCAAAAAUUAAUAGAAAAUUUAUUUUUUAGUGGGUUCAACUGCCACUGCACCCUUGAAUAUAGAUCCAUCCUGGUGACAAUGAUGUAGACAAAGGAGAGAUUGUUUGUCAUGCACCUCAUUUUAUGAUAAUUAUUUUUCAUCAUCGAAUGUUUGUUUUCUUAUAAUGCUUGUUAAUUUAAGAAUCAUAUGGUUAACUUUGACUGUGCCUAUUUGCCAUAUGGGCAAAAUUUUGCUAUUUCAUGGCUUAACUAGAAAAAAAAAACCUUUAUUGACUUAUUUUUUUAUUUACCUCAAAUUCAUCCGUCAUUUUCACUUAGAUUCUGUUUAGUGUGGCUUUAUAAAUAGCACUUAUUUACUGUAAGUAUAACUUUUGUUAGGAAAACUUUUACCAAAAUAAUUUUAGUUGUUUGAUUAUCAAUGAGAACUUUUAUUAAAAAUUGUAAAAAUUACUUUAUAGGUAAGUUUUUUUAAAAUUAUGUUAUGAAAUAAAUAAAAUAAGAUUAUAAAAAAUAAAACAAGAUAUUUUAGACAUUAACAUUUUGAAAAAGUUUUUCAAUCUUUGUGCCUAAAAGCCCAAAAUUUGAACUUUGCGAGUAAAGGUUAAAUAACUUAUUUGAUCUUCAAAAGUUUUACCAUUAAAUAAGUUAUACCAAACAAACACUUAAAAAAUUAUUUAUUAUAAGAAGUUAUAACAUUAAAAUUAAAAGUCCUAAAAUUUCCUUGAGGCCCUCCCCUCCCCCCCCCCCCCCCCCCCCCCCCCCCCCCCCCCCCCCCCCCCCCCCCCCCCCCCCCUCCCCCCCCUCCCCUCCCCACAAUGCACGUUAUUUGUUGUGGUUUGCUUAUAAGAAUAUUACAUUAGUUUGGACUUAGUGACGGUUCAAAUUAAACAAUGUGAUAGCAGGAAUAUUUGAUUUAGGAGAUAAAUGAUUCGGAAAAUUGCAAAAAUUUAUUACACUUUGAAGUGUUUUUUUUUUUUUUUUUUUUUAAGUAUUCAGCAAGUAAUUCUGACUUGUUGGACUUCCCAAAAAGUUUGAAUGCUUUUUAAGUCUUCCAUUCUAUAAAUUUCCUUAACCAGUGCACAUGCACGGGCCAUCACUCUAUAAAUCACAAGGCUGCUUUCAGGGGAAUUUAUUCUAUGGAAUUUUUAAACUUCUAUCAGCAUGAUGAAUUUCUUGUCCGCUUGAACCCGGCCACGCUCCCCACUCCAAACGAAGGCUCACUGGGAGACUGUACCGUUUACAUUCCUGUCUCUCGUAACAGUAGCAAUAUUUCUUGGAAUGCAAGCAAUGCUUUUGAAAUCAGUAGCUAAGUUUUGGAUUUUGAUUUAUUUUCUGGUUUCACAUGAGAAAUCUAAUUAUAUGAUCCAUAAAUACUCGAGCUACUAUCAUCAAGCUUUUUUUUCUUUAUUAUUUUUUUUCUAACUAACAAAUUAAUGAAUUCCAGCUGCCCUCCAGAGUUGCCCCAAUACACUUCAGUGAAGGAUUGUAAGAGAACCCUAGUGAAGUGGUUAGGGGAACUCCGGACAGCUGAAGAAGUAACACUACUCUUUCUCUUGUUGUCUGAAUGGACGUUGGCAUUGAGAUUACUUAGCAGGCCCGCUACUUAUACGGUAUUUACAAUAGUGGCCUUUGCUUUGCCCGUAAGCAUCAGAGAUUCGAGUGAACAAGUUCACAAUUCACCAUAAGUUGUCGGAGUUGAACCUGGUCAGAAUUAUGGGUAAUAUGAAAACGCUAAGGUUGUGUGCAGAAGAAUCACCACAAAAGUCUCCCUCCCUUUGUCCCCAUAUUUACCUUUCUAAGAUUUCUGUAUAACUAUCCAAAUUUUGCACGUGGGGAAUUAGCAAAAGGAUCAGGUAAUAUCAUGUAAAUGCAAAUAUGUCAAUGAAUUUGAGUGGUCAAUGUUGGUGUCAUAAUUCAUUAGGAAUCAAUCUUUGGAGCCAGCAGAGUUAUUCUCAGAGAUUUCAGGGUCGAUGGUAGAAAUUGAAAUAGGUGUGGCCCGGUUAUUGAGAUUAUAGUCUGGUACCACUUGUGCAACAUAGUAAGAUCAUUUGGUUUUCAUCCCUGAAGAAAUUUUGGAAAUGAGAGGCUUGAUCCAUUCAAAGGUAUAAAUUAAAGCUUGAAUUUGCACAUGGCCAUAUCACCUACACGGGUACAUCAUCAUUUUCUGCUCCCCGUGCAUAUCGCCCAAAGUUGCAUCCCUUUUCACUGCCAACAGCUUUAUGCCCUUAUAACUGUAACAAAGUAAGCAUGACACGGAACACAUGAUGCAAUUCUUAGCAUACCAGAGAGGGCUGGUGGUGCUGUUAUCAUGCCACACCCCACCCCGCCCGGGCGGCGGGCCCAAAAAUGUUUGAGGGAAAUCCUGUAGGCCUUAACAUGGUUUCACCACUGUCAAAACCUGAAAGUUUGGAUAUGAUUGGGGUAUUUUUUUUUUUUCCUUUUUCAUAGAUAAUUUUUUUGAAUUCUUUGCUGCAUAAAUCCAGUUCAGUUUCUUUUAUUUUACCGGUGAAAUAUAAUAAAACAUAAGGUAAAAUAAGUGUGUAUUCAGACUAAUUAACCAUGUACAAUCUUUCAAUAGACAAUAGUUCAUGCAGGGCAGAAGCAGAACAAAUGUUUGUGUUGGAUAAUCAAGAGCUGCUGCUGGACCUGCCGUAACUAAUAAUUUCUUGUAGUUUUAUCAUUGCCAGGACUUCAAAAUCUAAAACACACUUUGCUUUUUAUCUUCAAUGAAGUGAAUGAUCAGGAAUUGAUGGUCAAGUCAACGAGGUGACACAUUUGAAAGAGUAACCUCAUUAACAGAACAAACUUUGGCAGCCGAUGAGAAUUGACCUGGCCUUGCAACAUUUCGGCCUACGGAAAAUGCAGGUUCGGUUGGUUGAGGAAGUGUUACAUUAUCGCUUGCUAACAUGACAACCACAGAAGACAUGAUAGGUCUAUCUGCUGAGUCUGCUUGAACACACAAUAAUCCAAUGUGGAUAAAUUUCAAAAGUUCAGCAGCAACGCAUGACUGCUUGAGUACUGGUUCCAUCAGCUCCAUUGCUUCUCCUUCACACCAUAGUUUCCAUGUCUAUAAUAUUGUUAUACAGGUCAUAAACAAAGAUGAGACUCAAAAUCAUUGGCUAUUACUCUUCAGAAAGAAAGAUAGAAAGUCACUUACAUAAGAAAGGAGGCUUUGACCAAGUUCAGAUAGAUAAAACCCAGUGUUCUUUUUCCCACUGAUGAUUUCUAGCAGUAGAACGCCAAAACUGAAAACAUCCGAUUUUACGGAAAAUAAUCCUUCCAUAGCAUAUUCUGGGGCCAUGUAUCCACUGUUUGAAAACAGAACAACAUAAGAUCAAAUGCCAUAGAAAUGCUAAUGACCUAUGUGACCUCCGUAUUUUGAAUCUGGUGACAUGUAUCGUGAGGUCAGAUGUUCAAACCAAAUGCAAUAGAAUACUGUUAGCAAAUUUAAUUAUUGGAAACAGAGAAAACAGAGAGAGAUGGGAAUGAAAUGCACUUACUAUGUUCCAACAAUUCGGUUGGUGUUAGCUUCACUUUGAUUUCCACCAAAUAUCCUAGCCAUCCCAAAGUCUGAUAUCUUCGGGUUCAUCUCAUGAUCUAGUUAAACAUUACUAGCUUUGAGAUCACGAUGAAUAAUUCUGAGUCGAGAAUCCUCAUGUAAAUACAAAAGACCCCGAGCAAUUCCAUUAAUGAUACUUAUGCGUCGUUUCCAGUCCAAUUGUACACUCCUCAUUGAAUCUGAUAAUGAAUUGGACACAGCAUUUAACUUGAUUAGCUACUUUGUCAUCCACUCUUCUAUGGCAAGGAAGUGGGGAAAAUAAUGGGAAAUGGAAAGACUUGGCUACAAUUGCCAUAGUGCCCAGUAGUGGGCACAUAAUGUGCAAACCAUUUAACAGGGCCACUUCAACUAUACAAGCUGGAAUUAAACCAAAACAACCACUGGUUCUGCUUUUAUUUGCACAGCUUAACACCCAGCAAUUAAGGAAAUAGAAAGUCUGAGAAACAAACCAAAGAGGAAGACAUCAAGGCUUUUAUUGGGCAUGUACUCAUAUAUAAGCAGUGAUUCAUUUUCCUCUAAGCAGCAGCCCAACAGCCUCACAAGAUUUUUAUGUUGCAAUUUGGCGAUUAGAGUAACUUCAUUCUUGAACUCUUGUAGGCCUUGCCCAGAUGUUCUUGAGAGCCUCUUCACUGCUAUUUCCUUGCCAUCUGCUAAUUUACCCUGCAAGCAACUUUCCAUUCCUUGUUACCAUGAAAGUUUUGUAUGCGUACGGAAAACGCGAGCUUCCGCUGACAUGAACUCAUUUCCAAAUACUGCAUUCAGUGAAUACUUAGAUAUAUUUAAACAAGCGUACAGUAAAAAUGGAUUGGUAUGAUUAAUAAUUGCUUAAAAAGCAAGUGUUUAGUAAACUCUACUUUCUGUGGUUGGGAAAUUAAGUUAAUUUGAUCUCACACUUGUAUUAAAAAAAAUUAUAAUUUCUUUUAUAAUUUUUGUUAAAAUUAUUAUUUAAAAGUCAUAUAUACUUUUCAAAACUUUUAUUUUUAUAGUUAUAACUUUUUUUUUUUUUUUUUUUACAGUAGUUAUAACUUAAAUAAUAUAACACCUUGAUACGAAAUAAGACCUUAAGCAUCCCUUUAUAAUUACCUUGUAAACAGGGCCAAAUCCGCCUUCUCCAAGCUUAUUUUCAUCAGAGAAAUGCUGCGUAGCUUCAACUGCGAGAUGUAACGGAAACAAAGGGAACUCUUGAGAUUCUUCCUGCUUCUGUCCUCGUAAAACAUCAUACGAAUAGUCGUUGCCAAUUCUACCAUCUGCUAGAUGAAACAAUCGUGUCUCUUGACUAUUUGCUUUCUCCUCUGCAUAACAACGGAUUAAUUAACUUCGUAAACUAUGAAUAAGAACAAUGGAGUGGUCGAGUAUGUAUAGCUCUUUUAAUGCUAAACAUUACCUUUGACUCUCUCUUUUCUUCUCUUUAUACGCCAAAGUAAAAAACUAGAUAGCACAAGUACUAUAAUUGAUGAUGCCGUGGCGCCGAUUGCAAUCCAUGUUCUGCUUUCCUUCGUCUUCUUCUUUCCCGAAUCUAACAUGUAGCCAAUUUAAAGAAUCUCUGAGGAAAACUCUUUCUACAUCUUAUGCUAUGUUUAUAUAGAAUUAAGGAACCUGAGAUUUACGAACUCACCAUCAGAGCUACCAUUCUUCUUAUUAGGUGGAGAGAUGGGAGCUGUAGCGGAGCUACCAUUCUCAAAGAAAGGGUACAGCUCGUAUCUUAUGUUACAACUUGGCGUAAGAAUUCUACCACCUCGCUUUCCGUAGCAGCAGUUUGGAAUUUGAGCAACAGCCCCGCGCAGGCAAAUAUUGCAGUCUGAUUUAGACAGAUAUGGUAUGCACUGCACCAGAGUCGUAAGUUUACUAAUGCUAGUGGCGUUAACCGUUUGGGCUGCAGCUGGAUACUCAAAAUCCCUUGAGGUUACAUUUUGAAUUAGAUCACUGAAGGACUGGGUCAAAAUAUUAGAGAGAUUAUAAGGGUCAGUAACGUUCAUUGUGUUCCAUACGUAUACAGCUGGCACUGUGUCUAGCGAAGAGGGCAAAGAAUUGUUAGAGAAGCGCACCAUACACUGAUCAUACCAUACAAUAGCCUCCUUGGAGCCAGCACAAUUUUUCACAAUGGUAUUGAUUGUAACAUUUAUGCAAUCUUGGCAGGCCUCAUUAGAAACGUCAAAAUAACAAUUAUAAAGACCAUAAACUUUGUUCGGGUCAUCCCCUUCAGUUGCGUUGUAGAAUAGGGAAUAGCGACCUUCAUUGUUGAGCAUUCUGUUGAAGAGUCUGGCAACAUUGUACAAGAAUAAAUCGCCGGAAGGAGUAUCGCUUUCCCCGCGGCAGAUAUGGUAAACAUAAUUGGAGUCAAGUUUAGCCGCCUCUGACGAACUUUGUAACAGCACUAAAGAUAGAAACGAAAAAAGGUGAAGCAAGCUAACUAUGUUUCUAGUUCUCAGGCCAAAUAAUACGAGCAGAAUCGGCAUCGUCCCCUUGCUCUUCAACUCUGAAAAUUUUGAGUUCCAAUGUCAAGGGACUGAAUUAACACACAAGUAUCCAACUAGAAGUAAACAGUAUUAAUGGUGAAUACAAGACGAAUUAAGAUAAAUAGAAAAAUCGUGGGUUCCAACCCCUUUCACAUAACUUGUAUUGGGAUUGGAUUUUCAUUAAGCUACAUAAUUAAAAAGGAUAAUACAAAAAACAAUGAAAUUGAAAAGUCAAACAAAGGACCAUCGACAGUUUCCAGGCAUCUUCACAUCGGAGACUAAUAACAGGUGUCUUUUUUUUUUUUAAAUAAAUCCUUAAAAAUAAAUAUUUUCUAACUUAAAAAAAGUUUGAAAACUAAUUGAAUACAACCUUUUAAUAUUCUAAAUUAGUAUAUAUUAAUUAAUUUUAUUGUAGUUUAUAAUAUUUUUAUAUAAAAAAUAUUUAUAAAAAAUUAUACAGAUAAAUAAUGAAACAAGCAUAAUAGAGUCUUGCGCUGCAUGCAUGCCUGUGGAGGAAGUCGUCUACUUAACUAUUUGAUGAGAAAUAUCAAUGAAAAUGAAAGGAGUGCCAUUUCAAGGCUGCUCAACGCGGACCAACAGGCUUUUCGAAGACGCGAACCAGCCCCAAACAGCACGGAACUAGGCUGAGGAAGUCGUCCGCAGUUAAUGCAUGUAUGACGUAUGCUUUUAUUGAUUUAAUUCAUAGCGCAAGCUGAUUUACUAGAGCCGUGGGGAUAAAAGUAGACGUGAUCAGGUCACAAUAUAUUUUUAGUAUUUAAAUAGGAUAUGAAUAGAAAGGGUUUUCGAAAGGAUAGUAGAUUGAACUUGAAAAGGGCUUGUAAAGUGAGUCCAAGAGGAAGAAGGGCGUAGGCUGAAUUGAAUAUCCAAUUAGCUUCAUUCUCUUCUAAUCGGCUGAGUCCACUCGAAGCUUAUUAUAUACACCCCAUUGGUUGUUUACAAAGAUGUAGCCCUGUACGGGCACAGAUUGUAAUUAUAUACAUGAAUCGUGGUCAAUCUUGUCAGCCCUGAGCUGUCCUUCACUCUCUGGUGGUCGCUCUUCCGCUCACGAAUAACUCCCGCUGUCGCAUAGAAAAGACGCUGUCGUUUCAGCGACACAUAGACAGAGCUUUAUUCUUCUUCCUCUCGACAAUUGUUCAAUUUUUUUUUUUUUUUUUUUGUUUUAACUCUUUAAGUCUCUUUACACUUGGGGUUAGGGUUUCACUCAAAAUCUCCAAAAAAUAUCUUUAACUAUUCUUAAUUGGCAGUUCCUAAGAUUAUUCCUCCAGUCAUAACUGGCAGUUUCUAGGCAUCUUCGUUCUUCACAUCGAAGAUUAGUCAUCGUUAUGAAAUAUCAUGCAACUUUAACAUACGUUAGAUUAAUUAAACACGAAUUUCUGGAAAAAGAAAAAAAAAUCGAAUAUAGCAUUCUAAUAUAAAUAAAUAAUUUCAUCAAAGUGGUGAGUUAUAGUGAUGGGUGACUGCCAUCUAAUUAAGAUUGUAAAAUUCUUUUGUGUUCAUAUAUAAGAAAAAAAAAAAGUUCGAGUUCAAAUCCAUGUCAGUCUGUCACAUAGGUGGGGAGAGUAUUAAAUACCUGCAGUGCUAAAUAAUAACAUUGAUGUCACAUCUGUGGAGCUGCAUGUCUGUGGAGUCCCUACUUGAUUAAAUAGUUAUGUGACAGAAAAAACCCAUUGACCAUUCUAGUGCUCAAGAUUUUUAAAUUAUUCACCGGCCAAACUUAAUCAAAUGAACAGAUUCAAAACAAGGCAAAGAAACUCAAUCAAAUGAAAUUCCCCUUUAGUAAUAAUUAUACAAUACAUUUUUCAGUAUUAAAAUUAAUUAUCAACUAUCAAAUUAUCAAAGCCUACUACGUAGUGCGUACUUAUCCACGGAUUAAGAUGACUACUUUGAAAAGUUUCGUUAUAUGUAUUUCACUGAUGAAUCUGACGGUGGAUGACAGUUUGAUUGCGCAUAUUUGAGAGGUAAAAAUUAAGAUUCAAAAUGGAUCCCGCCCCUAAACAUAAGUGAUAGGGAAGUUAGCUGCUAGCCGGGCACCCCGACUCAUCAGUCAUGCAAUUCUCUAAUGAGUAAUUUUGCCGUCCGAUUAUUGUUAUACUUCAACAUGGACCAUGGGUUUGUUACUUACAAAAGACAGUUGGGGUCUGUUUGGAAAUAUUUGUAAGGUAUUCAAAAAUGAUUUCGAAAAGUUAGUAGUUAAUUUAGGUGUUUGAUUUUUUUUAAUUACUUUGGAGAAAAUUAUUCCAUGCAAAUUUUAAAAAGCUGAAAAUGAGUAACUUUUAAAAUUUAAUUUUGACAAUCAUUUUUUAUAGUUAAUAUAAUUUCAUAUAAAUCUUCACAUAUAUUAUAAAAAUUCAAAAUUGUCCUUAUUAAUUAGAAUAUAAAAUUAUUAAAUUUAAAGAGAUUAUUAUUAUUACCAAUUAUAUUGAGAUAAUAAAAUAAAAAAUAAAAUUAAUAAUAUAAAAUAUUUAUUUUAGCUAUCAUAUAUUAUAUAUACACAUUAAACAAAUAUUUUACAAACAUAUUUAUAAAUCUGUUAAUAAAUUUUAUUCAACAUUAUAUCCACUUCAGUCAUUUAUAUUCUGACAGCAAUUGAACUGUAGGAUUUAUCAACAUAUGACUACUUUUAAAACCUAUAAUACUUUAAAAAUAAAUCUUACUGAACAUUUUACUAAUUAUAUUCACAAUUGAUUAUUUCGACAAUGCAAUUAGCACUAAUUAUUUUAAAAGCUACAAUAUUAUCAAAGUGGCCCUUAGUUUCUCGGGCUUACGCCUAAUAUAAGAACGAGAUUCUUCUGGGCUCUCUUUUUAUGAGAUUUAUUUUUUAUUAUGUGAUUUUGUUGUUUUCCGUUGAUCAUUUAUCAAUUAACUGCAUUUUAGAAAUAUUUAUCUUUUUAGUUUUUAGGGAUUGCAUUGGAAUUUUUUUAAAAAAAUGGUUGAAAUAUUUGUUAACAAUGUUGAAUACGACCAAGUAAGUAAUAAUAAAUCAAUUAAUUAAAUUAACAUUGUUUAUAGAAAAAAAGUUUUUUUUUUUUAAAGUUUGAAAAGUUUUCUUUGAAAAGUAUCUACUUUGAAAUCUUUUUUUUCCUUUAACUAAAAGGCCCUUUGUCAAAUGUCUUGUCUUUGGGACAAGUUUUGUAUGUCUUGUAUGUAAUGACAGGUUUUCUUUCGUAAAUUUACAGAAUUAAAGUUUUCUAGUCAGAAUUUCAUCUUCUUGCCCUAUUAGUCAAGGGCAAUGUCUGAAGGAAAUCAAGAGUUUGAAAUUAAUACAGGUUAUGCUCAUAUCAGUUUGAAGGAGAAUGAACAACCUCAGAAUGUCCUACUUCGCUUUACUUCGUUUUGGAUUCAGAUUUACAAUCUGCUAAUAGGCUUUAUGUUUGAGAAAAUUUUGAAAGAUAUUGGCAAUUACAUAGGCACCUUUAUGGAGUCCGAUGAGCAUAAUUUAAUGGGGGUUUGGAAAACUACAUGCGCAUCCGAGUGUCCAUAGAUGUUAGAAAACCUCUUAAGCGAAGGAUGAAAUUGAAGAAGGCAGGCGGAGAUUGGAUUUGGGUUAAUUUUAAAUAUGAACGCCUUAAUAUUUUUUGCUUUAUUUGUAGAUUGCUUGGUCAUACUGAAAAGCAGUGCCCCAAAUUGUAUGAAUGUCCUCCUGGUGAAAUUGUGAAAUUUUAUGGUCACUAGAUAAAAGCACCAAAUAGAAGAAAUGCUAUGAAUUCCGGUGAACGGUGGCUGAGAUCAGCAUCGCCGAGGGAAGCUGACAAGGAAAAGGAAGGAAUGUGGAUGUAGUAGUUACCACGGCAAUUGACUCGAUUUUUUCCACAAAUCAAAGAGAUGAUAUACGUAAGAAUAUUGAUGGGAACGUGGAUGUGGGGAUCAUGGCAACCAAUAAGGAAGGUGAUAAUUUGUUGCCAACUAGGACUCUAUCCCGUGUGAAAGGAAAGCAAGUUAAGGGGACAACUGAUGAGAUUGAUUUCAAUAAGGAUUCUGGGGAUGAAAUGGAUGAGGGGAUAAUGGUUAAUGAUUCUAAAAGGAGAAGGUUACUAAUUGGGUCAUGCAGUAAAGUGGGCUUCGAAGGAGAGGUGUCUUCCUAAACGAUGAAUUUGCCAUUAGUUUAAAAAAAAAAGAUCAGCGGUGGGCCCUGUAGAUUAGGCCCACCGAGAUCAAUGAGUGUUUUAAGCUGGAACUGCCAUGGGCUGGACCAACACGGACAAUUCAAAUGCUGGAGGAGUUGGCCAAAUAAAAGAAACUGAUUUUUAUUUUGGGAAAAGGACACAAAGACCCCCAAUGUUUGAAUAAGGGACACAGAGACCCCCAACGUUUGAAUAAGGGACACAAAAUCCCCUAAUGUUUUAAAAAAGACACUCAGACCCCCAUUUGUUAACAGAAAUUAUAAUUUUAAAGUGCAAUUACCAUUAUACCCUUAUAGCAUAUUAAAAAAUAAUUGUUCAUUGUCCAAUUUAUUCCUAUAUUAUUAAUAAAAUUACGAAUAUAACUUCAUUAUCCAAUUUUUUCAUUUAAUUUUUGUCAAAUUUUCUCCUCAACUAAAUAAAUUUAAUCCAUUGCUCAAGAAUAAAAAUAAAUUAAAUUGAUUACUAAUAUAAUAAAAAUAACAAUUAUCAAUAACAAUUCUCCAUUUAAACUUAUAUAAUCAACAAAAUAAAAAAAAUUGGUUACAACAAUAAUUACAAAAUCUUAAUUGUACUAAAUAACAUAUUCAAUAGAUUGACAUAUGGAGAAUUGCUAUUUUUAUUAUAUUAAUAAUCAAUUUAAUUUAUUUUUAUUCUUGAGCAAUGGAUUAAAUUUAUUUAGUUUGAAGAGAAAAUUUGACAAAAAUUAAAUGGAAAAACUGGGUAAUGAAGUUAUAUUCGUAAUUUUAUUAAUAAUAUAGGAAUAAAUUGGACAAUGAACAAUUAUUUUUUAAUAUGCUAUAAGGGUAUAAUGGUAAUUAUACUUUAAAAUUAUAAUUUCUGUUAACAAAUGGGGGUCUGAGUGUCUUUUUUGAAACAUUAGGGAGUUUUGUGUCCCUUAUUCAAACGUUGGGGGUCUCUGUGUCCCUUAUUCAAACAUUGGGGGUCUCUGUGUCAUUUUCCUUUUUAUUUUUCUUAUUGAAACAUAGUAUAAUAGAAGAAAGUUAGAAAGCUUAAACAUAAAAUUGGGCUAUGAAGGAUUGUUUACAGUUGACCCAGUGGGCCGGAGUGGAAGACUUGCUCUCUUUUGAAGGGCAAGCAGUAAUGUUAGAUUAUUAAAGUUUUCUAAGAAUUGUAUUGAUGUGGAGAUUGAGUAUCAGGACAUGGGCAAGUGGAGGAUGAUAGGCUUCUAUGGGUUCCCGGAAUCUAGCCGCCGGUGAGAGUCUUGGGAUCUUAUUCGCACUUUGUCUGAUGUGUCUUCUCUUCCCUGGGUAUGCAUUGGGGAUUUUAAUGAUCUUUUAGCUAUUCAUGAGAAGCGAGUGAAGAAUGAGCAUCGAAAUUGGAAAUUGCAAGGAUUUAAACAAGCUGUUUCUGAUAGCGGUCUAAGUGAUAUUGGUAUGGAGGAUUACCAAUUUACAUGGGAACAGUCUCAGGGUACAGAGAAUUGGGUGGAGGAAAGGCUGGACAGAGUUUUUGCCACUGAUUCUUGGAUUCAUCGAUUCAAAGAGGCACGUGUUUGGAGUCUACAGUCUUCUACCUCAGAUCAUUUACCUAUUUUUAUGGACCCAAAACCUCUAACUCACUCUCAUAGGCAUCGAAGAUUUUGGUUUGAAAACAUGUGGCUUAGAAAGGCUGAUUGUGCAGAUGUGGUUCGGUCUAGCUGGUCCUCCUCUCAUGGAAUUCCAAUUCAACAAAAACAUUUAAAUUGUGGGAUUGCUUUACUUAAUUGGGGAGGUCACUUAGCUUGCGAUUUUCGUAAUCGUAUUUCUGAAUGUAGUAGGAAAAUGAAUCUUUUACGGGGGCGUCGUGAUUCAGCUGGUAUUGAGAAGUUUACUGAGGCCAAGAAGCGUUUUAAUGAGCUCUUCCAUAGCCAUGAGGUUUUCUAGAAACAGAGAUCAAGAUGCUUUGGCUAAAAGAAGGGGAUAUGGAUUCUUGCUUCUUCUACGCUACGACUUCAACAAGAAAGAAAAGAAAUUCUAUUACGACUCUCUGAAAUGCUCAAGGACAAUGAUGUACCACCUCAGCUGAAAUUGAUGGUUUGAUUUAUGAUUUCUUCUCCAAUUUAUUUACUACAGAUGGUUGCCAAAAUGAUUAAGUUUUAAACUGUGUGGAGACAAAGAUCACUGAAGAGCAAAAUGAGUUGCUGCUAGCGCUUUUUACAACAAGCGAGGUUAAAGCGGCCCUUUUCGAAAUGCAUCCAGAAAAAUUACUAGGACCUGAUGGUAUGAAUCCUGUAUUUUACUAACAAUUUUAGCUUACUGUUGGUGAGGAUGUGACUGCAGCUUGUUAGCAUUUUAUUACUACUUGUUCUCUUCCGAUGGGUUUAAAUGACACAUCUAUUGUAUUGAUCCCUAAGAAACCAAAACCUGAGAUGUUGUUAGAUAUGAGGCCUAUUGCUUUAUACAAUUUGUUGUAUAAGAUUGUAGCUAAAAUGCUCUUAAACAUAAUAAAGUCAGCCCUGGGCUCUGUAAUUUCUGAAUUUCAGAGUGCGUUUGUGCUGGGUCGGGCCAUAACAGACAAUAUCCUUAUCUCCUUUGAAAUUAUGUACUUUUUGAAAAGGAAGCGGCAAGCUGCUCUUAAAAUUGAUAUGUCGAAGGCCUAUGAAUGAAUUGAAUGGGAAUUUUUGAAAGCUAUGAUGCUUAGACUGGGGUUUGAUGCUAAAUGGGUGAAGUUGAUUAUACUACGUGUCUCUAUAGUCCGGUAUCAUGUUAUUCGCGAUGGGAAGGAGGUUGGACUUAUUGUUCCAAGUAGGGGACUUCGCCAAGAGGAUCUUUUGUCGCCAUAUUUAUUCAUUCUUUGUGCAGAGGGUCUCAAUGCGUUAAUCCGUAAAUAUGAGUUGGCUAGCUUGAUUCAUUGGGUAAAAGUUGCAAGAGGGGCUCCUGUUGUAUCUCAUUUAUUCUUCGCAGAUGAUUGUUUUCUGUUUUUCAAAGCUAACCGAAGUAAAGCUCGUUUGAUUAAGCACAUUCUUGUGGCUUAUGAUCAAGGGUUAGGACAGUUAGUGAACUUUAACAAAUCUUCAAUCUCUAUUAGUUUGAAUGUUAAUGAAGAUGUGAAAGGGUUGAUUUGUACUAUUUUGGAGGCUAAUGCUACUGUUAACCGUGGCAUCUAUCUUGGCUUACCCUCUCUUGUUGGCAGAAACAAAAAAGAAGUUUUUCGAUUUAUCCGAGAUAGAGUCUGGCAGAAAUUUCACAGCCGGAGUAUGGAGAUGCUGUCGAGAGCUGGAAAAUAAAUUCUGUUAAAAACAGUGGCUCAAACUAUUCCGAAUUAUGCCAUGCAAGUUUAUCUUUUGCCUCUUGAUCUUUGCAGAGAUCUAGAAACUAUGAUGAACUCAUUCUGGUGGGGAAACAUACGCAAUGGUGGAGGUGGCAUUCACUGGAUGAAAUGGGAAUUGCUUUGCAAACCGAAGUCAAAUGGAGGAAUUGGCUUAAAAAAUCUACAUGACUUCAAUGUGGCAAUGUUGGGGAAACAAGUUUGGAAACUUCUAACGAAUCCAGAGUCUCUUGUGGGCCAAAUAUUCAAAGCUCGAUACUUCUCUGGUACAUUCGUUGUAGAGGUGGUUUGGGUUAUAAUCCAAGUUUUGUGUGGAGAUCUCUAAUGGCAGCUAAGCACAUUAUUGUUCGUGGUAGUAGGAUCCAGGUUGGCAAUGGUCAGAACAUUACUAUUGGGUCAGUUCCUUGGUUUCCAGAUACAAAAAAUUGUUUUAUUUCCACCAGCUUACAUGAGCGGAAAACAACAGCACCAGUCAAUAGUUUAAUGAUUCCUGAGCAACGUCGAUGGGACUAUGACGCAGUGGUAGAUUUGUUUAAUGCUCGAGAUAAGAAUUUUAUCUUGUAAAUACCCCUUCGUACUCAGAGGGAUAAGGACGUGUGGUAUUGGAUGGCAGACCCUCAUGGUUUAUACACAGUUCACAGCUGUUAUAAAAUGCUUAAUCAUUGUACUACUGCCCCAACAUCUGGUGUUUGGAGGAAAAUUUGGAACUUGGAGGUGCUUAACAAGGUGAAGAAUUUUCUUUGGAGAGCUACAAUGAAUGUGUUACCAACAAACGAUAAUCUUAUUCGGAAAAGUAUUGAGGUAUUGCCUAUUUGCUCCCUCUACAAUAAUCAGAAUGAAUCUGUUGUGCAUGCUUUGGUGAACUGUGCUUUUGCACAAACAUGCUGGAUUUCUUCUUCACUUGGAUUUGUUGGUCAUCACCCUUCAUUUCUUAUUUGGCUAGAUCAAGUCUUUGCCCGCUAUAGUAAGGAGAUGUGUAAUCUUGUUGCCAUGAUAUGUUGGAAAAUCUGGUUUUGUAGGAAUGAGAAAGUUUGGAAUAACAAAGUUUGUAGUGUGCAUCAUGUCCUUAAUUAUACUGGGAAUUAUUUGUUUCAAUGGCAAACUGCGAGAAAACAAUUUGUUUUCAUUAAUGAUGAUUCUUUCCAAGGUUGUCAUGGGGCUGUUUGCUGGGAUAAACCUCAUCUAGGUUGGCAUAAGUGUAAUGUUGAUGCUGCAACAUUUUCAUCUCAGGGGAAAGUCAGCUAUGGAGGAGUCAUUCGCAAUUCUGAUGGGGUUUUUGUUGCAGCAUGUUGUGCGUGUGUGAUUGGAAGUUUUGGCGCAAGGGAUGCUGAAGCGCUUGAUGUGCGUGACAUCCUAAGUUGGAUUAAGUGGCGACAGCUGUCCUGCGUUGUUGUUGAAAUGGAUUGUUUUUAGAUUUUUAAAGCUCUCACAGAGAACUAUUCUUGUCUUAAUGGUUAUGGCCUAAUUCUUGAUGAUUGUAGAGCUUUAGCUCAUUCUAUAGGAGAUAUUAAAUUCUCUUUUGUCUGAAGGUCUGCGAACACUGCUGCCCAUGUUGUUGCAAGGGUUGGGGGGUUCUUUGUCAGGCCCUGUAGAGUGGAGUCAUAUUACACCAUCCUGGUUAACUAAUUCUCUGUAUUCUAUUUCCAGUUAAUGAACUUUUCAAGUUUUAUUCAAAAAAAAAAAUUGUUUACAGAUAGCGUACGCAGAGUUAAGGAAUCCAAGAAAUAUACUAAGUUAAUUAUUGUAUUCAAUUUUUGUAUGAGGCCUUCAUCUUAGUAAUGCUAAGGCGUUUCUAAUAUCAUCAUUUUAUUGUCGCUGGAGAAUUGCACUGCAUGCAUUAAAUCCUGGAAUCAAAUUUGAUGUAAAACUUUAUUAAACCCAAAAUCCAAAUUUGAAGUAAAAUGCUAUUAAAUCCAAAUUCAAUAAAAUCACAUAUUAUUGUUUACCGUUCUUUUACCUCUCACCUUCACCAUCACCAUCACCAUCGGAGUAUGUAGAGACUCAAAAUAUGGAUCUAUAAAUUGUACUAUACUUUUUGGUGGUGACAGUAUCGAAUCACGUCACGUGCUUCUUUGAUCAUUAAUUGGAGACACAUUUGAAAGAAAAAAAUAAGUUACUUUUACGUUUAAUUGUCUCCAACAGUUCAUUAGUAUUUAUCUGUAGAUAUAAGUGACUGGGUGAGGUUUACUAGGUUUAUUGCGACUAUAGAUUUUAAGAUGAUAUAAAAACUAUGCUUCUCAAGUCAAAAAAGAAAGGUUACAGAAAGAGAUUAUGAAAAAAAAAAAAAAAUCUUUGAAAAAGGUUAUUAUAUUUGUACAAAAACUAAAAUCAUAUAAAGUUUGUCUCUUUUUACUUACUCACCACUAAUAAUUUUAUGCCUUCUCACAAAAUAGUUAUAACUAAACCAAAUAAAAAGAAUAUCACUGAAAUUUCUAAGUAAUAAAUAUUCCCGUAUUUAGAUACCCAUGAUUGCUGAUUUAGGAGUCAUAUAGUCUUUUUUUUCAAAGUGCUCCAGUAGGACAAAGUUUCUCACUACAGCUCCAUAGAGUAGUUCAUCUGUUAACUAGAAAUGUCUAUAUAUAUAUUUAUAGUCAAGUUUGUUGUCAACCUCUACUCCUCGCUCUUUUUUUUUUUUUUUGAUUUAACUGGGGCUCUAAAAAGAGCUAAAGAGAAACUGAACGGGGGUAAGAAACCUCAUAAAAGUCAUGAGACAAAAGAGAUCGAACACCCAAAGGGGGGUAGGGUACACAAUAAAGCCAAGAGGAAGAGAAAAAGCGAGGUUCGCCAUAUAAUCUGCAGUGAAAUUGGCUUCUUUGUAAAUAUGGGCGAUGGAGACAUGCCAAUCCAAUUUGAGAUAGUCCUUAAUAGCCUGGACCAAGGGAACAUACUCAUUAGUCAUCACCGAUGAUCUAGCCACCAAUUGAGUAACGCACAGGCUAUCUGUUUCAACUUUCAAUCUACGGAUGCCUGAGUCCCAAGCAAGCUGAAGCCCCUUAUACAAUCCCCAAAGUUCUGCCACCGUAAUAGAGCAAGAGCCAAUCAUCAUCCCAAAGCCAGAUAUCCAACGCCCUAAGUGAUCUCGAAUCAGACCACCUGCAGUAGAAAUCCCAUCAGACUUGUGAGCACCAUCCGUAUUCAAAGUACACCAUGGCCACUCAGGAGGAUGCCAAGAAAUCCACUUAUUUAUUCUAAUGCUCCUUGUGACCAACGGGCUGUUAUGAAGCUUAUGCGUCUCCUCUACUCCUCGCUCUUCCUUGGCCAUUAGUAUGAUUUCAAGAAUUUCAUGAAACGGUUUUCCAUUAAUGAUAAUCACCCCAGUGCCUGGACCUACGCUACCAGUUUAUAUCUCAACUUGGAUUCAUGAUCUUUUUGUAUCUAAUCGCAAGGCUGCUUUCAGCGGAUUUUAUUUAUGGAAUUUUUAAACCACUAUCAGCAUGAAGAAUUUUAUUUUUCCUACAAGUAUGAUGACUUUCUUUCUUGUCCGCUUGAACACGGCUAUAGGCCCUAGUCUAGUCCGAGGCACAACGGAAGACUCCACCGUUUAUGUUUUUAUCUUUCGUAAGAGUAGCAACGUUUCUUGGAACGAAAGCAAUUGCUUGUUGAGGUGACGAUAGAGAUAGUACUCUUAUUGGACAGCCUUCGUUGCUCUUUGGUUGGCACGAAGAUAACAAAUGCUGUGUCUGGUGUCCAUCCGAAGGCAAUUACACUAUAGAUAAUGCUUCUCUCGCUUACAUUGUUGGAGCUGCUUUCUCUCCGAAUCUUGGACCGUGUGAUGUGAUGGAUGAUUGGAAGCCUUCUCCUGAUGGAAUUCUACUGGAAGAAAUUACUACAAGUGACGAUGAAUGUGUUGUGUACAGAUGUUUUCGUGAGGCUUCUGAGGUGAGAACAAUUGAACGGUGGGAAGUUGAGUGUUGUGGCUGUAAGUCAACUGAGGUAGGGUCAGGCAAGAAGCGUUGAGACGAUUAACGAAUAUGAUCAUCGGCCUGUUCGGAAUAUUAUUCAAGAAUUUAGGCUCAUUGACGGGACUUAUUAUCGAUUGGUUGUGUUUAGUUUUCACCUGCAGACAAGGUCCAGCGCCCUGACGAUGAUAGCCAUGAAAUAAAUUGCAUGAGGUUGUUCGAUGUUAAUUUCCGUCAGCAUUUGGGAUUUAUUUCUGUUUUUGUUUUGUGACCAAGAUUGAGAAACAUGUCUGCAAAAUAUGCUAAUAAAAAUCUUCGUUUGAUGAGAGAUUUUCAGCUUUUUAUGAUUGGCAAAUCCCUUGGAAUAUCCAUUUGAGGAAGAAAGAAAAAUGAAUGUAACUUCUUACCCAUUCAAAUUAUUGCAUGGGAAUAAUUCAUCAUUAAUGGAUAUACACAUACUUGAAUAAAUUCAGCUUAACAUUUCAACUACAACGAUGAAGUACCCGUACAGAUUGCCACCUUGAGACUCAGUGUGUAAAAUUAAGAAUGAAGGUGUUUGAUGGAAGUGAUGAAGUGUACUAUGAAAUGCCACAGUGAGAUUAUUUUUGUGGGAAGACGAUAAUUAGAAUUUAGCAGCUCAAGGUACUCUCGAAUCAGCUAAACAAACAACCUCUAGAAGAGCUUUAUAGAAUACACUAGAAUACUGAAGAUGAAGCCAUGAAAGAUUGUGAUUCAUCAAAGCUUAAAUGCAAAAUGUAUCAAGAGUUCUUAUUUCUAAUUGUAUCAAUCUAGACCCAAUCCAAGCCAUUUAAAAAAUAAUAAAUGCAAUUUAGUGUAUAGGCUUAGACUAAAAAGCCUGCAAAAUCACUUGCCGGAAAGACAAUGAAUUUACCGCAUUUGUGGUUUUUUUUUUUCUUUGUUUCUAGUUAUUCAUUUACUGCUUUUUUUUUUUACUAGACCGUCCAUGAAAACAUAUCAUAACUUGUGAUAUUAUUAUUUUAAAAUAAUAGGAUACUCACCCAUGAAUGAUGAGAUAAUUUAAUUCAUAAAAUGUUUCAAAAAUUGUAAAAAUUUAUUAUUAACUUAAUAACAAUCACGUGACUUCGAAACAGUUCAUUUAGUCCUUGCAUUCAUUAGCUGCUAUGCUAGUGCUCUUCAGUUGAGAAGAUGAAUGGGAUUAAUUACUUCGAACUUCCCAAAGUUGAAUCUCUUUCUUCUUCCCCUCUAUUUCAAGCCUUCACCCCAUCAACUUAUUAUCGAUGGACUGUUUUUAAUUUUGACCUGCACAUGUGAUACAGAACCUGAGGAUGAUAGCCAAUUAGCCAUGAAAUAAAUUACAUAAGGUCGUUUGAUGAAAAUUUCCACUAGCAUUUGGAAUUCAUUUCCGUUUUCAGUUAUCUGAUCAAUUUUGAUAAACACAUAUACAAUGUGGUUUCUGUUUUAGUUAAAUUUUAAGUUAUUCAUGGAGUAGUACUUAAAAAGAAAGUAACUUUGAGAAGAAUGGGCAAAUAUGGUAAUUCUGUUAUCACUCUAAUUCUAAAUUUAUAAUCACAUAAUUAUAGGCUCAAUUUGUCUCUGGCCGUUGGAGUCAAUCGUGCAGCUGUAAAUGAGAUAAUUUACUUUCCAUAUAAGGUUACGUUGGCUGAUUUGUUGCGAGACUUGGUUAUAACAUUUUUCAAAAUCCAGGAGAGAUUGAUGCAAAAUUUAAUAUCAUUGAUUCUGAAAAUCCUCUUUAUAUAGAACACUUGUAUAAAAUAAAAAUUAUUCACCUGCACUAGACACAAAGAUAGUUAAAAAAUGAGCAUGGAAUUCUUAGGUAUACAAAUUGCAGUAGCCAUUUACAUUUACGUUCUCACCUUGACCAGCAAAAUUAAUGGCUUUAGAAUUGAGCUCACCCCAAGAACCUCCAUUGAUUCGGCUCUGUUUCCCAAAGACCUUUCUCCAGAAGAAAUACAUCACAGAAUUGCUCAACUCUCCAGAGCUCGCGCUAUUCAUCUUAGAUCCAAUCAAGAACCCGAAACACUAAAACCACCUGUUUAUCCUUCUCCUUUUGCUAACACCAAUAUAUACAUAACAAAUAUAUCCAUUGGUUCAACACAGUUCUCACCUUACUUGGUAGUGGAUACCGGUAGUGAUGAUACAUGGCUUCAAUGUGAGGGUUGCACAAGUUGCUUUCCAAUCAAGGGAGGAAGCUUUCCCGUCAUGGAAUCAAAUACUUAUCGCGGCUUAGCUUGUGAGCACCCGCUUUGUGUCCCCAAAUUGUGUGAUAAAGGUCUAUGCUCAUACGAUUGGAAGUACAAAGAAGGCAGUAGAACUAAGGGUGUGCUUUCGUCCGAAAGUUUAACUUUUCCUGGGGAUAAAAAUACAAGCCUAACAUUUGCAAAUGUAACCUUUGGUUGUGGCUAUGACAAUCAGAACGUAUCAUUUGGUGGAUACAUGGGAAGUGACAAUAUAAUUGCGGGGGUGUUUGGUUUAGGGGCAGGGCAACGAUCAAUCCUGAGGCAAUUGGAGCCUGAGACCAACCUACGUUUCUCUUACUGUCUUCGCUUGUACCCCAGAACAGACGGGAGUAACACUACUUACUUGCGAUUUGGCCCUGAUGCUCAGAUAAAAAGGAGACGAUAAACGAAAGUUCAGACAAUAAAAUUGAACCCCAGCCUGCCCGGGUAUUAUGUGAAUGUUACAGGUAUUAGCGUUGAAGGAAAACGACUAGAAAUAGACCCAGCUUUGUUUCAGCUGAAACAAGGAGUCUCUGGUGGAUUUGCUAUUGAUUCAGGUGUUGGACCCACUCUUCUUGUUCCUGAGGCAUAUGAAGUCUUGAAACUAGAAAUCCUCGAAUUCUAUUUGGCGCGAGGCUUUCAUCCUGUAAAAGUAUUGCAUGUGCCGUAUGAUCUUUGCUAUGCUAUUACACCUGCAGCUAAUGUUGAUGCUAGUGGUUUCUUCCCGUCAAUGGUAAUCCAUUUCGAAGGGGCUGACCUUUUUCUGGAUGAUACUGCUGUGAUGGGGUUCGUUGCUCCUCAAUUGUUCUGUUUGAUUUUCUUGCCUACGCAUCCAUCCGGGCCGAAUCUUCUGGGGGCAUUUCAGCAAGAAAAUCAAAGGUUUUUGUUUGAUGUUGGAAAAUCUACUGCGUCAUUUGUUUCUGAGAAAUGUAAUGAGCAAGAAUGAGAUUAUGUAACUCUAAUAAAAUUGUAGGCUUUUCAAAUUCUAUUUUUUUUUUCUUUUUCAUCCCAGAUUGUCAGCUUCUUUGGAUUCAGGUCCUGCAAUUGCAAAGGCCUGAUCAGUACUCAAUUUUAGAUACAGCAGGUGUUAAAAAUGAGACUGAUGCAAUAUUUAAUUACCAAUUCUCUAAAAUUUGAACCCUACGUAAACUUAAUUGAUUUAGAUAAGACAAAUGCUAAGUUAUAAUUAUUGUAACUUACAUUUCUCAUGUGAACCACAUAAAUUACAGGUUCUAUAAUUUUGUGUGGUUCACAUGAGAGGUGUAAGUUAUAAUGAUUGUAACUUAGAGACUCCCGAUAGAUAAUCAUGAUGUAAGAAAUAAUAAUGAUACGUGAUUAGGUGGCGUGUAAAAAGUUAUCAUUAAUGUAAAUAUAGAAAUUUGUAAAACUGGCAGUCGCAGCUCAUCAUGAUUAGUUGUACAAUACCUUUAGUGGAAAAACAUUAAUGAAAUUCUAUAAAGACUAAAAAGCAUUUAAACCAAAAGGUAUAGAUUUGAUUGCCGCUCACAUGGGUGGGAAAGGGAGUCGAUUACUAUUAAGCUUAAUAAUAAUAACAAUAGAAGUAGAAUUAUUAUAUUUUAAAAAAAUGCUUUCAAAAUAAAAACAGUACCAAUUCAUCCAAUUCAACAUUCAAUACUCAAAAACGCUAAUCUAAGCUUGCUUUAGGAAAGAUAAUUAUGAUGUAAGAAACAAUGAUACAUGAUUGGUGGUGUAUAAACAUUUAUCAUUUGUGCAAUAAUAUUGAAACUUGAAACACUGAUAACAUGAUUAGUUGUACAAUAUCUUAAAUAGUAAAACGUUAAUGCAAUUUAAAUGCAAAAUCAGCACCAAUUCCUCAAAAGCCAUUUGUUCUUCUGUAUAUCCACACAAAAUUACAAAUGAUGCAACAAUGUUCUUGCUACUCACAAAACAAAGAGAUUAUGGCCGUGAAACCCUUUGAUUUACAGCUACAAGGGGUGGCUGCAGUUGCCCUCUACAUUUACAUCCUCACCAAGUUCAUCAUACAACUUAUAGCUUCAGAAUUGACCUCAUUCCAAGAACCUCCAUUGAUUCAAAUCUUUUCCCCAAACACCUUACUCAUGAAGAAACACAUCAUAGAAUUGCUUCACUUUCAAGAGCUCAUGCUCAUCAUCUCAGUUCCAUGAAUUCUGCCAAAUCCGCCCGAAAACAAAGCACACCCCGAGCCUGAUCAGUGGAUGCAACCACCAAUUUUUUCUUUUCCUUUUGCUAAUAUUUAUGUAACAAAGGAUCGAGUUAAUUGGUUCAAGACAAUUCUCACCUUACCUGGUUAUGGAUACUGGUAGUGGGCUAUAUGUGGCUUCAAUCUGAAAGAUUGAUUAGACAUUGAUCCGGCAUUGUUUGAGCUAAACCGUGGCAGUUCAGGUGGGGUUUGCUAUUCAUUCACGCGUUGGACUGAUAAUUCAGGUUCCUGCUGCAUAUAAAGUUUGAAAGCUGAGAUGAUCAAGCAUGUUGUUAUACAAAAUGGCUGGCAUCUCGUAGAGGCAGGGAAUUCAAAGAAAAUUCCAUAUGACUUCUGCUUUUGGGUCACACCAACUGGCAUUAAUGAUUUAAAACCAUCAAUGACAAUCCAUUUUGAAGAAGCUGAUCUUGUUCGGGAGCCUAAUGCUGUGUCUCAGAAAGUUGGUGAUCCCUUAUGAAUGAAUGUUAUCUCCAGCUAUCCCAAUGCACCAAAUCUAUAAGGGGCUUUUCAGCGGGCAAACAACCAUUUCUUGUUUGAUGUUAGCAAAUCUAUUUUGUCAUUUGUUCCUGAGAAAUGUAAUGAAUAGAUAGAUUACAAGGUUGUCAAACAGAAUAAUUAGAGUUAUCUGCAUGAACAUAUAUAAGAUAUGUAUGACAAAAUUCCAGACGCUAACUCUUAGACUACAAUAUUUUGGUAAAAUUCUUGGACAAUGAGAGGGACAAUUUAAUAAAUUAAAUAUUAAUUAAAUUAAACAUACUUACAAAUAUAUUUAUGUAGAUGUAUUUCAUUAUUAAAAUUAUAAUUCAUAAAACACAUCAUUUACACAGUUACGUGCCAUUAAAAUUCUCGUUCGUCUCAACUAUACAACAAUACUGUUGUCAUCAUCAUCUUAUGAAAUUUUGUUUUAUUGUCAAAUAAUGAUUGAAAUUUUGACCAAACUAUCUUCUUGUCACUGUUGGUGUACCGUCACCACAGUUUUCUACUUUUCUUGAUUGGUGCACUUAAACGUAACGGGGGCAAAGUGGGGUGUAAUAUGUAGAUUCAAGAGAGCUUAAUGGUUAAGGAUUAGAAGUGAGGACUACUAAAUUUCAAAAAGAAAAAGGGGGAAAAAAUGUGCACUAGUAUGAUUAAAAAGAAAUUAAAGAGGGUGGACCAGUCGUAAGAAAGGCAUAUGAACAGAAGAAAUAAAAAAAAAAACCCUCAACGGUGUUUUAUAAUGGGUUAAUUAAGCUUGGGUGACAUAUAUUCUAACAAAUUUCAAAACGUGAUAUAUGUUUUAAAAAUAUUUUAUCAAGUGACAAUCAGUUAAUUUUUAUAGUUAAUUCAAACGGACUAACGGUAAAUAUAUUUAUUUUAGGGUUGAUUACACACGGAUGACACACAUUUUGAUAAAUUUCAAAAUAAUUAUACAUGUUUUAAAAAUACUUGAUUAGAUAACAACUCAUUAACUUUUAUGAUAAUUCUAAUGGACCACAAGUAAAAUUUUAAAAAAAUAGAUUUAUUAAAUUUUUUUUUUCAUUUUCCUCUCUCCCCUUCUUCCUUCCUCUUCUCCAGUUUUUUCUCCUUUCUUCAUCUUCUUCAGUUCAUUUUUUUCUCCUUUUUUUGUCUUUUUCAGUUCGUCGUUUUUUUCUUUUUUUUUUUUCCCUCUUUCUCUCCUUCUUUCUUUGUCUUCUCUAAGUGUCAUCUUCUCCACGGCCACAACAUGAUAGCAGCCGUGAUUUCCUGGAGCCAAAGUAGCAAAUUGAUUCAACAAGAAAAUUUGUUUAAAGAAAAAUUAGUUUGAUUUAACCAAAAAAACCCUUGUUAAUUAGACUGAACUAGAUUCAAUAUAUAUUAUUAGAAAAAGGUGAAAAUAAGUGAGUAGGGGCAGAAACAUCAUUUUUUUUGUAACUAGCUGUAGGGGCAAAAAUGUUAUUUUUUAAUUAAUUGACUACUUCCAUUACUUAAUAGUAAAAGUUAACGGAUUGUUAUUUGAUCAAGUAUUUUUAAAACAUAGGUUACCUUUUUCAAAUAUGUCAAAAUAAGUUUCACUGAUGGUUAUUAAUUCUAAAAUAAUAUUUUUUGUAAUUUUACCCUUAGUCCGUUAGAAUUAACUGUAAGAGUUAAUGGAUUGUAUUAUUGAGUAUUUUUUAAAUAUGUAUCUCUAUUUUAAAAUUUGUCAAAAUAUGUAUCACCCAAGUGUAAUUAACUCAACACUUAUCUUAAUUUUCUAACUUCUAAGCGAAUAUUGUCUAAAAAAGACGCCAUGUUCAUUCAAUUGAUAGAAAAUUGGUCUAGUUUCUAACUUCUAAGCGAAUAUUGUCUAAAAAAGACGCCAUGUUCAUUCAAUUGAUGGAAAAUUGGUCUAUUUUCUAACUUCUAAGAGAAUAUUGUAUAGAAAAUGCUAAUCAGGCUGAAGGCUUUGUCAUGAGUAGUCUCGAGUGUUCCGUGCCGUUUUAGUCUUCAGAAUUGAAAAUCUGCCUCAAUCUCAAGACGAAUUAGCAAGAAAAGGAGUAUGACAAAAACGGCACAUCAUCUGAUGGGGCGCGUUUGUGUAUGCGCUCAAGCUGAUUAUGACUCUUUUUAGGUCAGGAAAUACUGUAAUUUUUAAAAUAAUUAUUGUUAACUGUAUAAAUAAUCAACUAUAAAGAAAAUUAAUUAAGUAUUUGGUAAUUUUUUUUAAAAUUAUUAUGCGUUUUGAAAGUAGUUAUGAGUGUUUAGUAAAAUCUUAGUGGUAAACUAUUGUGACAAAACAAAUGAUUAAAAUGUACAUAAUGCAGGAUAUAUUUUACUUAUACAUAUAAAAACAUGUACAUAUAAUAUUUUUAAUUGUAUAUAGUAAUAAUUUUAACUAAAAAUAAAAUUUAUACUAUAUUUAUGAAAUUAUAUUAAAGGAUAAAAUUGGUUCUCAAAAUUAGAAUUUAAAAAUUACUUUCUCCAUGCUUUCAAAAUCAGCUGUAGGAGGAAUUAAUUUUAACAAAAGUGAUUUUGAUUUUUUUUUUACCAAACUCUAAAAUUAAUUUUUAAAUUUUUAAAACCACUUUUAAACCUUCCAAAAGCAAUCCCAAAGGGACCCUAAGUAUAAUUUGGGUCCUAGCGCACACAAGAAAUUUUGCAUAACAAGGAAUUUUUUUCCUAAUUUUUUCGCUCUAUUAAUUUUUUUUCUAAUGAAAUAAGUGAUCCAUAUUAAAUUUUGAAUUUGAUAUUAAUAACUUAACUAAUUUUUUCACUAAAUUUAAAAAUUUAUGAGAGAGAAAAAAAUAAAUAAUAAUAAUAGUAAGAAAGAAUCAUAAUCUAUAUUGCAGCAGUUAUCUCAAUGACUCGUGAGUCGUGUCGGUGUUCGUGGGUGGGUGACUUGGAUAGAGCUGGCAAAAUUUGACACGACCCGAUUACCCGACACGAACACGACACCAAUAAAUGGGUAUGGAUCGUCAAAUUUAACACGAUUAUUAAAUGGGUCGGGUCCGGGUCAACACGAUUUUUUUCCGUGUCGGGUUAGGGUUAAAAUUCUUGACCCAUUUACCCGAUUAAUGACCCAAUUAUAUUUUUUAUUUUAAAAUAAUUUGCAGAUUCUUGUCAUCAAAACUCAAAUAUUAGAGAUGAUUUUUUUUUAUUCUUUAAAAGGAUGAAUAUAGACACAAUAUUUUAUUUAUAAAAUUUUAAAUACAUUUAGAGCUUUAAUAGUAUAAAUGUAUAAAAUAUUGGUAGACAUGUAUAUUUUAUAAUAUUGAUAUAUAAUAUUAUUUACAUAUAUAUAAUUAAAACCUCAAUAGUGUGCAUAAUAUUUUAGUAGAUAUGUAUAUUUUAUAAUAUUGAUAAAUUAUGUAUGUAUGUAUGGAUGUAUGGAUGUAUGUAUGUAUGUGCAUACAUAUGUAUGACAAAGUGUAAAUAUUUGAUGUAACUUUUGUUUAAUAUAUAAAUAUUAAGCGGGUUAUUGGGUAACCCGAUUAUAUUUUCGUGUCGGGUUUGGGUCUCAAUAUUUUGACACGAUUAUUAAAUGGGUCGGGUUUGGGUCGACUUAAAUUUGACACGACACGAACACGACCCGAUGACCCGUUUUGCCAGCUCUAGACUUGGAUUUGGCCACAUAUGUCACUGCUCGCGUCAUCGGAUUUUCUCUUUCAUUUCCCAUAAAUAAUAAUGCAAUUAGUUAAAGAGCAGUGAAACAAAAAGCCACAAACCAAAUUUGUCAUCAAACCUAGUAAUUGCAAAUUACAGAGCUUGUACCAACCACCAAAAAUGAGCUGGUGGUGGGCUGGGGCAAUUGGCGCUGCCAAGGUAAGACUUAUAAUUAGAUCAGCUCUUUCACUUGCUGUGCUUGAAGAUUUUAUUCUUCUUAUUUCAUAUUUUUAAAAUGUUAAGUUUAAUUUACAGAAGAAAUUUGAAGAAAAUGAGCGACAACCGCAACCGCAACCUCAAGACUACCAGCACGUGGGACUCGUGAUAGGCGUUACGGGAAUUGUGGGAAACAGCCUAGCUGAGAUUUUGCCCCGACAGGAUACUCCCGGGGGCCCGUGGAAGGUCUACGGAGUGGCCCGACGCCCCCGGCCCGACUGGAACGCCGAUCAUCCGAUUGAGUACAUCCAAUGCGACGUUUCCGACCAGGACGACACGCAGGCCAAGCUCUCAAAACUCACCGACGUCACCCACAUCUUCUACGUGACGUGGGCCAGCCGUCCCACGGAAGCCGAGAACUGCGAGGUCAACGGCGCCAUGCUACGCAACGUGCUCGGUUCCGUUAUCCCGACCGCGCCAAAUCUACGCCACGUCUGCCUCCAAACCGGAGGGAAACACUACGUGGGACCGUUCGAGUCGUUCGGCAAGAUACGGCCUCACGACACGCCCUUCACCGAAGACCUGCCAAGACUGAAUGUGACAAACUUUUAUUACACUCAAGAAGACAUAUUGUUUGAAGAAGUCGAAAAAAGAAAGGGGCCGUUGUCAUUGACUUGGUCCGUACACCGGCCUCAUAUAAUAUUUGGGUUUUCACCGUACAGUAUGAUGAAUGUUGUAGGCACUCUGUGUGUGUAUGCGGCUAUUUGUAAACAUGAAGGGGUUCCUUUACUGUUUCCAGGGAGUAAAGAUUGUUGGGAGGGCUACUCGGUUGCUUCGGACGCGGAUUUGAUUGCGGAGCAACAGAUUUGGGCGGCGGUGGAUCCGUAUGCGAGAAACGAAGCUUUUAACUGCAGCAAUGGGGAUGUUUUUAAGUGGAAGCAUUUGUGGAAAGUGUUGGCUGAGCAGUUUGAGAUUGAGAAUUAUGGGUUACCACAGGAGGGCGAGAGAGUGAGAUUGGAGGAAAUUAUGAGAGGUAAAGAAGGUGUGUGGGAGCAGAUCGUGAAAGAGAAUCAGCUGCAGCUCACAAAGUUGAGUGAGGUGGCUGUCUGGUGGUUUGCAGAUAUGAUGUUAGAUGGAGGGUUUUUGUUGUUGGAUAGUAUGAAUAAGAGCAAGGAGCACGGAUUCUUGGGCUUCAGGAAUUCUAAGAAUUCUUUCGUUAAUUGGAUUGACAAGAUGAAAACUUACAGGAUUGUGCCUUAGAGGAGUGAUAUUCUGUGGAGGUUGUAAUUGUUAUUUGGUGAGUAAAAUGGUUAUUAUGUUUCAUUUUCAUGAUUCAUGUAACUGUUUGAAAAAUCAAUGGUUUUUGGUCUGAGGUUGGAAAAUCUACAGUCUCUUCUCACAUCUGUUUUAUAAAAAUAAAAUUGGAGACUUGUUAAUUUCUGUUUCUUUGUGUUCAUCGGUUCAUCCCGGCUUUUCUUUCAUCUUCCUUGGCAUCACCAAUCACUUGUAAUAAUUGCCCAACAAAUCUGAGAGUUUAGAAAAAUACUUUUGUCGGACAGGUGUACGAUUCAUCCCUCCCCCUAGCUUUCUAGCUCUAUAUUUUACAUCUCUCCUACUAUGUAUACUAAGGCCCUGAAUAAAGGAAACAAAUAAUGGAGACAUGUCGUCCCAUGCUUGAAAAAUGUUUCUCGUCAAAGAUAUAUACAUCAUUGAUCGUUGAUAUAAACUCUCAGUUGUGUGUGGCGUGCAUAAUUAUUUAAUUACACGAAUCUAGCUAUUCAAUUGCAUAACCGAAUGAUCAUCAAUAAGGCAGAAUCAAGCUUUUGUGGUGUUCUUGUGACAAAAUAUUCUGCUUUUUUCGUUUAAGAAGAUGACAAAAUAUAGAAUACGUAGUGUAACUUGUUAAGUACUUGAAAAUACAGAGCUUAAUGAGACAGAUACUGGGGUUAUAAUAUAUUGGGGUUAUAAUAACUUACCGCCAGCAGGUCCUCAAAAUCAAGAAAGUACUUGAAACAUGGGAUACGUCGGAUGUUUAACGUUGCAAUCACAGAGUCUGUCAGGUAUUCACGCAUAUCCUCAAUUUGAUAGUGUCUGUCAAAGAGAUCUAUUUAUGGCUAUGCUUUGGUUAAUGAAAAAACUAAUGUAUCCCACAUCGAAGCGAUACAAAAAGGCAGCUAUGACAAAGGAUAUAAAUAAUGAGCGCUAAGCAACUGAAGAACAUACUUACCUGGACGGGGUCAAUGGGCGAUCAUGAAGGCCCAUGGCCUAGGUUGGUGGCCUCCAUUGCACUUGGGAGGUGCACCCGCCUAAGGUCAACCCAAAGUGGUUGAGCCUACGUCAUAAUUUGUGGCAGUGGGGGCCUGCGUUCGCGCGGCCCCCUCCCCAACUCAAUUAAAAUUUUAACUAUUUUUGUGCGCCAUUGUCUCAACGGUUGUCUUUUAACUUACAAUUAUUCUAAGAGAGUUUCAUAAUCCUGAGCAGACUGAAAAUCGAUUGUACAUUGUCGUGGUUGUGACUAGUGCUCUCAGGGUGUCACAAUCAGAUCUCUGCUAAAGUCAAGGCGUAUCUUAUUUUACUUACCUAAUAAGAUCCUAAUUAAGGUUUAUUUUAUUAUUUAAAAAUUAAAAAAAAAAACUGAAUAAUUAUAUCUGCUCACCUAAACGUUAGGCCCCAUCUUAACAUGUAGUUCCACUAAAAAAUUAGUUUUUCUUUAUUUUCUUGUUUAAGGUGUAGGAUUUUAAUAUUUUUUAAUUAUUUAACUUUAAAUCUUGAUCGAACUUAGACCGGAGAUUUAAUUAAGGAUUAUUCUCUAUUUUGAAAGUUAAAUUUCCAUCAAAUAAGGUUGUUUGAUGAUUUCUACUUAAAAAAAAAAUUCAAGGUAAUUAAAAAUUAUUAUGCUGAAAAUCUGUUAACGGUUUAUAUAUGAAAAAAAUUAAUCAUACAUAUUUAUGAUAAAAUUUUCAACCAAUCUCAUGUUAACUUCUUUUAAAUAAAAACUUUGCCUAAGACCUAAAAUUUCAUUGUGCCGACCUAAACCAUAGUUUAGGAUGGAUGGAUUUUGUUGACUUUUUUACCAUCUGACAGGUACAAUAUGAGUGCCUUAACUGACUUGGAUCCUUAUUAUCCUACUACGUGUAUGGCUUAAAUUGACUAUAAAGAAAAUGAGGCUGGAAAUGUAUUUAAUAUUCUAAAAGCUUGUCCGAAAUUGGCUACAAAUAAAAUAAGAGCAGAAAUGUAGUUUUUUUUUUUUGAAGUCGAGCAGAAAUGUAGUUAAUAUUCUGAAGUUGGUAGCUGAUUACAAUUUUAAUUAAUCAUUGUUCUCUUGAUCAUCAUUAUUUCUCUCACCCAAUGGAGAAAGACUGUAUAAUCGGGUCGAUUUAGGUGAUGCCGGGGUUUAGAAAAAAUAUUACAUAUUUUAUCUCAAACGAUGUGUCAUUUAUUAAGUAGUUGAUAAUUCUUUAUAAUCCAAUUGAAUUAAUUGUAUUAUCUCACCAAUAAAUUAAUGAAUAUUACAUCAAUUGUGAUAAUUUUUGGCAUAAAAAAUUUAAAAUAUAUAACAUUAUUCUUUUAUGCGGAGAUGGAAGCUUGCAAUUUAUCAUGUUCCAAUCUUGAAGACCAUGGAAGAAAGUUGACAAAGAUUGAAAAAAAAUUAUCACUUUCUACCCAAAAAAUAAUUUUAAGAUUUGUUUAAAUGAUCAUACAAUACUUAGUUUCAUAAAUGGAUACAUAAAUAUUUUUUUAUUAUUAUAGUAUUAUACCUUUUUGCAACUAUACCCAAAUUUGGUAUAGAAAUACAAAAUGUCAUUUUCUAUGGGGAGGCAUUCGAGGAUCGCAAAAAAACGAUGCCGACCACCUAAAAAAUAUAGGUACGAAAACUAUAUUUAUUAGAAAACUAUAUUUAAUUAUUUUUAUUAUGCAUUUUAAUCUUUGUAUAUAGUAUAUUGGCUUUUCAGUUCAACCACUCUUAAGGAUUUCUUUGAGAUUGAGGAUGAACGUUGUAUCCUAUAAGUAGCUUAUUUUAUAAGUUCUGAAAAAACCUAUAAAAUUCAUCUUUUCGAGCCCAAAAGUCAAAACAUGGCGACAUAUGUGUUGUUGAAUCGUGGAGUGAAAAAACCUAUCAAAUUCAUCUUUUCGAGAUAAAAAGCCAGACAAAUACCGAGGGCGGAACUAAGACUUUAAUUUAACAGGAGUCAUAAUAGAGGAUUUAAAAAAUUGAUUAGGUUGUCGCAUAAAAUUUAUAAAAUUGAAGAGGCAUUAAAAUGGAGAUUAUAAUAGUUAAAUUUAAAUCAUAAAAUUUAGUAUACCAUAAAAAAGGUCUAAGAUAUAUAUUUUUUUAAACAUGCAUGCAUGCAUGCUUCCGCCACAGUCAUACCCUAACGCAAACUUAAGACCGGUCUUAACAACGCCAAGUUUUUAAAGGGAGAUGGAGGAAAGAAAGAAAUACUCACUUGAUUCGAGUGCCCUCAAUGCCCCCUUAGACUUGACUCAUGAAUCAGUAGUUACUAGUGAUCACGUGGAAAUUGUCAACUUGCUGGGCUAAUUAUGCAAUAAUCGCUACGUGUUGUUAUAAACUUAUAGUUAGCGCAAAUAUGUUGUUGUUUUAUUUAACAAAUUAUUCUUAUUAAUUUUAAGAAAAAUAUUUAUAUCAGAAAUUGUUUCAUAAUUUGAAUUGGUCAUCAACUAGCAAAUAAUUAAGAGCCAUCAAUAUUUGAAAUGGUGGGAUGCUAAUAGCAAUAAAUCCGAGCACGAUUAAUACCAAAAAGUAAAACACGGCACCUUAUUUCAAAGUUUCAAUGAUUUUUUUUUUUUAUAAAAAAAAAGCACAUAACACGAUGGUCAACCAUACCAGGAAGAAAUAUCAGUUAUCUCAGAUUAUUAUAAUAAAAUCAGAAAGGUCGUUGCCCAGCAGGGCGAAGUGGCCCACCGAACACUGGCCCGCAGCAGGUCAGCUCCAUCGAAGGAUAAAGACGAGAGUAUCAAAAUGAAGUGACAGCCCGAGAUUUCAUUCAGUCAUAUCCUAAUCACGAUCAAGGAGACAAUUAAAUAAAAUUGAGUGGCGUACGUAUAAAUUAUAGAUUCAAGAGAGCUUAAUGGUUAAGGAUUAGAAAGUGCGGACUAGUACGCAAAGGCAAAUGAAAAGAAGAAACUGAGAAGAAACAUCAACGUCGAUGUAAAAUUAUGUAUUAAUUGUAGUAGAUGGCUUAUCUUUUUUUUUUUUUUCUCUCCCCCCACCCCCUCCUAAAGUCGGAAAACGCCAACAUUAUGCAUGGUUUGCUCAUGGACUCCAUGUAUCUUUCAUGUUUUGUUUAAGAAUGAAGCUCAAAUGAGGGCACUUGACUGAGUAUGGCAAGUUAUUUACGAGAUAAUCGAGAAAUUGCAAAGUCAGUAUCUUUCAUGCUGGUUAAGUAAAGAUAUUGGACGGUACGACUGUUAUUAUUUGUAAGGCCACGGUCAUGUCAGAGUUGCUACCGUGAAGCUCUAACGUAGCUGGAUCCUAUUUAUAAAUGUAAUGUGCAAAUAACAUGUUUUUAAACUUAAUAUAUUUUUAUUUAAUGUAUGAAAUUUGAAAUUUUAUUAAUUUUAGAUUUUUUUUAAAAAAUUAUUUAUUUUUUAUAACUUAUGUCUGAUUUAUAUAUGUUUGUAUCGGAAUAGAAAAAAUAAUUUUUUUUUUACUUUUAUUUGAAUAGAAAAAAGUCUAAAGAGAAGUAAAUAUUAUAUUUAAAAAAUAUUUGUAUAAAAUAUAUUUAUUUCUUAAGUUAUAAAAUCUAAUCUUUUUUGUUUUGGUUUGCAAGGAUAUAAAUGUCAAAGAAUUAUGUUUAAGUUUUUUUAUUUAUAAAAAUAAAAAGAUGUCGCUUAUAUUUAGUAUUAAAAAAAACAUAUCAUUUAAAUAUUCAUAUUUAAAUUCAUUCAGACAUUAGAAAAAUUCAGAAACAUUUAGAUUUCAGAUAAAAAAACAAACGCUACCUUAAACAAGGAAUGGUAGAAACCCCUAUAGGGAUGGGGCCUUGGGAAUUUUUUCCAUUUGAGGAGGGUAUGAAGAUAAUUUGAUAUUCAAUUUCUUAUUCAGAGAAGGAAUGAAGAUAAUUUUUUUAUAUCUAAUUUCAUAUCCAGGGAAGGGUCCACCCUUUCCUAUUUCCCCAUUUCCUAUUCUAAUUUUUAAUUUUUAAUUUAUUUUCCUAGAAUUAAUAGUGAAUAAAUACUAAAUUUUAAAUUGUAAAAUAUUAGAUAUUAGUGUAAGUAACAAAUAUGAAAAUGCUUAUACAAAUACUAUAAAUAUUAGUUAAUACAAAAAAAUUAUUGUAAUUUAGACUUAACUAUAGCCCAAAAUCAGUAAUCGCACAUGCCUACAAUUCACAAAUCAAAUUCUAAGUCACUCUCUCACAACAUUACACAUCCCUGCCAAAUUAUUUGUGCCAUAACUAGUAUCCAGCUUGUCAUCAUCUCAUCAUAGGUCACUAGUACAUUGCAUUGUUGGUGGCCGAGUAGUCUAACUCAUCGCGACGUCAACUCGUAGCCCCACACGUGGCUUCAUUGCGCUAUAAUCGACCAAGAGAUAUCAUUACUCAUGGACAACACUCACGUCAAUAUUGUAAAAGAAUCACAUUAUUUGAAUUUUGUUUUCAAAAUCAUUAUUUGAGUAUUGUAUAUACCAAAAGUUUGAUGGAGUAGAAUGAAAUAUAACAUGUUUAUGAUCAUUCUCAUUUUAUUUUAUAUGAUUAAAUUAAGUGCAAUAUGACCUAUUUAGAUUAAUAUGAUUAAAUUAAGUGUAAAAACUAAAAAAAUAUCAGUUAUUUGGGGAUUAUGGACCCUUAGAGAUCUCUUGUUAUUUUUUAGAGAGGGGAUAGAGAUCCCUCAAGCAAUUUUGAUGGGAACAAGAACCUAAGUAGAAUAUUAAGAAUGGGUACAGAGAUUACGAUCUCCUCUUUUCGUCUCUCCAUUACCAUUUAAGGUUUAAACAAUGAAGGAAGCACGCCAUUUUUAUCAUGAUUAUGUAAGUACGCGUGUCACACGUGCAAUCAAGCUUUGGAAAAUCAAUUGCUUUGGUUUGAUGUUGGAAAGCCUUCGUUCUACCAUCUCUUUUGUUUAAGAGACUUCUAAUGAGCAAAAAUUACGUGGAAACCCUUGUACUACCCAAAUAGAAGUCAUGUUUGUUGGUUAGAUUUCCAGCUAUGUAUUGCAUUUUACGUCACUCUCAAACUUCAAUAAAAUUGAGUCAAGUUGAUGAAAAGGUGAACAAAAGAAUGUAAAACAAAAUGUAAAUUCAAAUUUCUCGGUUUUCGCUUCAUAUAUGCAUUAAAAAUCGAACACUUCUAUGUUCAUUGUAUGUUAAUAUUUGCAACCAAUCACUCUGUCAAAAUUAAACGACUCUUGAUAUAUAUUAAUAUUAUUCGAAGAAUUUGAGUUUCUCUGCUGCAAACGAUAUGUUUGGCAAAUCUAGGACUAGAGUGCUCUAUUUAUAUUUAUUUUUGGGAUGAUUUAUAACAAGAGAUUUCUUAUAUAUAUUUUAGCUUUCCUUUUGUUAUUGUAGUUGUCUAACUAUUUUGAGGGGUAAGGCUCACUAUGUCUCCCUUAAUUAGAUAUAAAUUAUUUUUGGUUUUCAAUAAAAUUACAUCGCCAGCCAAGUUUCAUUGAAAAAAAAUUAUCUAUUUAUUUAUUUUUUAAUGUUAGGAGAUCCUACAAAACUUAAAUCGAUUUAUUUAACCUCAUAUCUCUCCAAACUGUUUGAAAACUACUUGGUCAAAUGCAGGACUUUAAUUCUAACAUAUCUUGAUAGGUCAUGGAUAUAUUAGAGUGGUUCUAAGGAAAAACACGAGUCACAUCUUGGUAGUGUCGUAUUGUCGUUAGGGUGCACCAAAUUUAAAACCUUACUACUAGUAUAAAUAAUUAGUACAGAACGAGUAAGGAUCGAUCCCACAGAGACUAUACUAGUUAUAUUUAUUAUCAACUCUAAAGCAAGACUUAAAAUAAAAUAAUAAUAGAAGUAAUUAAUAUAAAUUAAUCUAACUAAAGAAAAUGCCAAUUAAAAAGGGGAGUUUUUGAAUUUUUAACUAAAUAGCAAGAAAUAAAGAAAUUAAACUAUGAAAACAAAAAUUUAAUAAAAACUCUAAUUAAAGAAGAAAGAAAUAAUAAUGAUGAAAACUUUGGUUAAAGGAUUAUUCACCACCACCAAACAUGCACAUAAUAUAUCAAUUUUAUCAUCAAUUUAUAUUGAAACUAUCAACCGUAGACAACAACAAACUCUGUUAGUCUCAAUCUUUCCUUAGUGUGUCGUUAGGCAAAACAAGCUCUUCACCUAAUCUCUAACCAUUAAAUAAUUUAAAACAAACUCUUUAAAUUUAAGAGAAUGGAAGCAUUAAGUAGAGAAAUAUAUUAGGUUGAUCUAGACAAUAAACACACAAGCUCGGAUUAUUUAACCUAGGUUAUGUUCUCCAAUUGAAAUCACUGAUUCCAACCUGCUACUUAAUCUCAAGACAAUUACGGAUCAAGAAUUUUAAUCUAACAAUAGAAUUUAUUCAAGUCCUAUCUAAUUGGCCACUCAAACAAGACGAGAAUAAAAUCAUAAACAUUAAUUAUAGAAGAACAUAAACAAUCUCAAUUAAAUAAAUUGAAUGAUAUAAAUUAAAAAUUAAUCAUAUGACAUGUUUGGGGUUUUGAAUUCACCAUCAACUAAAUAGAAAAUCUAGCUUAACAUAAUUAAAUUGGGAAUAAAAGAACUGAUAAAACCAAUCACGGAGAUUAAUUUAAGCGGCUGCCUUUUUCUUCAAUUCCCUUCGGCUGGUGAUUUUUUUUUUCUCCUUUGCGACUGCCAAUCUAUCUAUAUAUAUUAAGUUGGGACUUGAGGAGGUGAUGUGGCAUCACCAUUUUUCAUAUUUGUAUAUUCUCUAUUAUCUAAUAAAUAGAGAAAUUUUCUUUUAAAUUUGGCUUUUCAUCUACUCAUAAUUAAUUUGAUUGUUAUUACACAAUAACAAUUAUGUAAAUAUUUUAAUGAGACAUAUUAUUUGUAGUGAACAUCCAAGGGGGGGUGUUAUGAAUUUAUUAAAAUAAAUGUAGAUGUUCAUAACAUAUAUCUCUUAGUCUCUCCACUAUCUCUCAUUAGCAACCUUUAGCUUUCCUAUAACUCCCACUAUCUCACAAGAAAUUAUGUUCCAUAAUUUUUCAUUAAUUUUAUGGAGUGAUUAUGUAACUAUAAAAGGAGAGCUCAUCUUUUUGUUUUGUACACACACAAUUGAAAUGAAUAAAAUUACUCUAUAAUAUAUUCUCUUAUUUUAUUCUUUAUCUUGCGUUGCUUCUUUAUUUGUAUUGUUGGCUAAUAGCUUUUUUUUGUUUUUUAUAAGGCUAAAAAAAAUCAAUUUAUAUUUUUUAUCAGUUUUAUCAAGUGUAAAGUAAGAAAAAAAGAUAAUACUAAAUUCUUUUUUCAAAGCCACGUGAAGCGCGGUUCUAUUUUCUAGUUGUUUUGUAUGUGUGGCUGCCGAAUAUAUAUUCCCCCUCGUGUUGCUUCCACUUGGCCCUUAUAUAAUGCUUCAAUUGUGGCUUUUAAAUCCUUGCAUGGAAAGAAUUAAAUCCAAGCAAAAACCGCCACUUUCAUAACGUGCUUGCCAUUUAAAUUGUCAUGCAAAACAUUUAAAUUACAUGCAAAAUAUUUCCAAUUAGAGCAUUCACAAACUCUUUUGAUUGGCCAUGCUUAAAGCCAAAAGGCUUUAUUCUUUUCUUCCUCUCACGUGCUGGAUGGCAAUCUCCUUUUUCCAAUUUUAGCUCCAUGCGAUGGCUUAGCUUGUAAUUGGCUUGGCUUCCUUUAGCUCCAUGUGUAAAAUUAAUUUUGCUUGGCCCGUACAAGCUCUAAUUGGAAAAUAUUCUUUAUUUCUCCAAUUCCUGAUCUCUUGUGCACUUUUGUCUCCCAAUCUUUAAUUCUUUUCCUAUUUUGAUUCUCUCAAUCAGAUUUCUUUCAUGAAUGCUCCGAUUUAAUAUCUCUUUAAUAUCAAAAAAUACUUAAAAUAACAAAAUAAAAAAAACUAAGAUAAAAAUUAACACAAUAAAAAUAUAAUUUACUAAAUAAAAAAUUAAUUAAAAUAACUAUAAUAUUUAAGACCAAAACAAGAAAAAGAUGGAGAAAUUAAUAGCAAAAUAUAUGAAAAAUAUGCACUUAUCACAUCUACACAUGUAAAGUGAUAAAUAGUAAAAAGUAUGUUAUAACUUUAAUCGUAUGAUUAUGAAGGAGUGUUCCACCGUGAAGCAGUUCCAACAUAGCCGGACUCAUCUUGAUAAUAUAAUAUGAGUAAUAAAUUGACACUUACUUGGCAAUUAAGUUAAUUAUUAAAAGAUGUCACACGAUUAGCAUUUAGAUAAUUGAUAAACCACAAAGUUAAAUAACACUAUAAACAUCAUAAUUAAUGACAUGUGUAACAAUGAUUUGAGACAAACUAUAUAAACCCCAGUUUCGUAAAUGUAAUACAAUAAAUUAUUAUUGUAUAUUAUAUUUCGAAUUCAUCCGUUACACCGUAAGAUUGAAUUAAUAAAUAUCAAAUAAAUUAAUGGUCAAUUAGCAUCAUUUUCAUCCGAUUAAACUUUCAUAAAAUAACAAUGAACAAAACCAUCCAAUAACUCAUAAAUAAUAAAUCAUAAUUAACUAUCUUAAACAAAUUCCUUAACAAUUACAACUACCGUCUUCAUUAUGUAAACAACAUCGGAGUAAAAGUAAAGCAGCACAGAAAACUCUAUGACGAGGUGGCAACUGGCAUCCAAGAUGACCACGGAGGUGGUGGGCCGAGAUCAGUUGGAUCAGGAGGUCCAGGUGGGCCCAUUGGACCACGAAAGCAGCCUUGUAGCAACCAGCAGCAGCACAGAAAGCUCAAGCUGUCAUAACAAACCCAACGACAAGCAACCGAACACCAGUAUUAGCUUUUUCCGCCACUGAGAAUUUUUUUUUGUCAACGUGUCAAUUUUUUCGUGAUUGUUCAGCUGCAUCUUAAGUUCCCAUUUUGACACGUGUCACUGUAUCUUUACACUACAUCAUGUAUCAACGAUGUUUACUUGGUGCACUUCAACAAUGAAUGGGACUAACAGAACAGCACAUGGAGAAUUUUGAUUUUUGAAAACCUCAACAUCUAAAUUCGAUGUUUAAUUACUUUCCAUGAACCGAUAACUUCACAAAAGCCACCGAAAGAGUCCAGCAGUCCAAGUAGUGGUGGACCCCACACAGGUGGCCCUCCAGGUCCUCCCGGUCCCAUUGCUAUUUGCUGAUUACUGUUGCCGGCUCUUUAAGCAAAGUUAGUUAACACCAAGGAAAUUAACAAGAGACUUUCAGAAGUCCAAACUCGCUCUUGCUUGUGUAUAUAGAGAUGCAAAAUGUUUUUAUGUUAAAUGAAAGUGGUACAAAUGCCACAAGGUUUCUUGUGUUUAUAGAAAGUGCAAGCUUAGGAUUUAAGCAUCCAUCUUUGUUGCCACAUUUGCAUCUAAUACUUUCCAACUGCUAGUCUUCUAUGUCUAACAUUCAAGACCCUGCUCAAGAAUGAUAGCAAUUACCAAUCACACGCUCAUUCAAUAAUUCAAGUGAUAAUCUCUUAAGUUAAAACCCAUUUAAUAAUCUAUGGAGGAUUUGUGCCCACAAAUGUGACCGAAUGGUUUUUAAAUAAUUUUAUUUAAUUAGCUACCCAACUUCAAAUCUUAAGAGAAAUAAGGGAUUUAAACAAAAUGAAUUUGAUCAAAAUGAAUCUGGACUUUGCUCACUGCAUUGAAAAAAAAAAAAUUACAGAAGAUUGAUCGACAAGAGUCUUCAGUGAUAAGCAAUUAGAUCAUAUUUUACUUUCCAGAAGAUGACAUGUCUCAAAGAGGUUUAAGCCAAAAAAUUCCCAAAACGCAAUAAUAGAUGAACAAGUGUGAUUAGAAAGUGCCACCAAGAAAUGAAAAGAAUACUAUAACUAAUAAAUCUAUAAAUCUCAUUUCCAUGAUGACAUUAUAGCAGUGGGUUACCAACCCCAAUUGAAUUAUAUAUAUAUAUUUACUCGAAAAUUAGGUUAGAGGGUAAACUGAUUACACAAAUUCUAUAGAAAAAUGGCCAAAAAGGCUGCCUUUUGCCUCUGUAUAUGUGAGCUAACUUUUAACUAGUAUUCUCUUCCAGAUAAUUCAUCCAUAUACAACUCUGCAAAUCACAAGAAUCCUUCACGAAAUGGCCGCCAAUCCAAUAGAUUUCCCCUCUUCAGUUUCUGUUUUCUGGUCUUGCUGAAAAGAGAAUGCAACAGACUAGUAAGUAGACUACAUUUGAAGAAUUGCAGAUUCGCUUGAAUUGAAAAUAAAAAUUAAGGCAUUUAUUAAAAUGGCUUCUAGAACAGCUUAAGGGGUAGUAUGGGCAGAUUAGUAAAAGGAUGGAAGAGAAAUUAUGCAAGAAUGCUUACUUGAAACAUUUGUGAUAACAUUAACACUUUUCUGAGCAGCAAGAGCUUUCAACUUGUUCCCACUACCUAGUACAAGCAAGCUCCUCAUAUGUUGCUUUUGUUCCCUAGGACUAGCUGUCUUUGUUGUUUGGAUAUUCUCACUUCCUAUCUUUUGAAAAAGGGAAAAAAGAAAACUUGCUUAGCGACGCUUAAUUACUGCUGUUAAUAUUCUGGCCAUUUAACAAACUUAUGCCCAUCGUUUGGAAAACCAAAAAAAUACAAUUAUUUUUCCAAGAAUAUAAGCAUGAAGAAAACUGAAACUAAGAAUGAAAUCUGAGAGGUUCAAAAGGCAUAUAUAUGAAUUAAAAUGAAGUUGAUUAUAAUAAGGGCUAAUAUCAUCAUUUGCAAAGCAAAAAAACCAAAAUAAGAAGCUAGUUUAGAGUUUCUUAUCAGCUAGCUCUAAAGAAAGACAAGUGCAGCAAAUUAAAGAUGGUUUUUUAAACCUCUCUAAUCUUAAACAUAAGUAGAUGAGGUGCCAAAUGCAUGGAUGGAUCCAGUACCGUAAGUAACAAGGCAGCUUCUUCUAAUUAAGCAUAUCGUCCCGUCUGGUUAUUUCCGUUUGCCAGAACGCAACCUCACCCAUGAUCACAUAAUUAUCCACCAACAAAACAAUCGUUGCCAAGGUCAUAAUCAAGCCAUCAUCAGACAGCCCGUGCUCUCCACGGACGGCAGCAGCUAUAACCUCGUGAUAAAUCCAUAACAUUUUCCAUCCAGAAACGAUGUGCGGGACCCAAAUCUGCACUACGAAAAGCACCACGAAAGAAGUUGAGCAACAAAGGUACGUAAAUCGAGAGAAGAAAAUAAUACACAUUGAUGCUUAAAGAGAGCAGAACGCCGGCCCGCCUGCUUUGUGUGCAGACAUGAGAUAAAGCUACUGCGUAUUGUUCCCAGUAAAAGAUCGAAGAAGCUGAUUCGAUUCUGAUGCUGAAUCCCCAGACCAAGACUAAGGUUGGAGCAAGGGUUGCUAUGCCUGCAUAUUCAGAGCCCAACACCUCCGCGAACAACAUCAUCCAGCUGUUUAAGUUUGUGAUGAGCAUCAUUGUUAACAAAGAUGACAUGUCGGGAAGAAGCUCAUGAUUGUGGGUUGGCCAAAUGGGCAUUUUCCCUUUUUCUAAAAUAUUUUUUUCCUCGGUACUGUAUGUAACUUGUCUGUUUGGCUUCUGGGAAAAUAAAUAUGAGAGGAGAAAGCGAUUGGAGAAAAUUUAGCUGAAUUACACGAUGAGGAUUGGAAUUGAGGGAGUCCAAACCAUGUGCUUCUACUCUGUUAGUGCACAAAAUGGGAAAUGGCAG